Molecule: long non-coding RNA, 52979 nt
Filed under: Triticum aestivum (bread wheat)
Lineage: Eukaryota; Viridiplantae; Streptophyta; Magnoliopsida; Poales; Poaceae
Description: long non-coding RNA (TAES_LNC019375)
Source: RNAcentral
UGAGCCCGGCCGGGCACCGCCGGCCGGUCGAUCCCCUGCCUGUAAUUAAAUUAAAUCGCCAUUGCUCGCCGUGCGUCGGGUGCCCGUAAGGGGACCGGUGGCAAAAGAGGCCACUUGUGUAGCGAUGCGUGAAUGAAUUGGGAAUGUGGAAUUGUGGAUAAGAAAGAAGAAUUGUUCGGGGCUGAUCUGGCUUCCUACUACACUUGAAGAUAGUUUGCACGUUCUGAUUUAUUGCGCGCACACGAACUGCAAGACGACACAAGGAAAGCUUAAAAUAAACAGACAGUCUAUCUAUGUCGACCGACUCGCUGUUUCCCAUCCCGGUUUUUGAAAACGGUGGGCUUAUAAGCGGAAAAAAGUCCAAAAUAAUCCUGAAACUUGUAGACGAAAACUAAAUUAAAUUCUAAACCUCUAAUUCAUGUAAUCAACACAUCGAACCCUCUGAUCCAGUUUAUUUUAAACCUUGAGCGUAUUUCCAAACAGGGAUUGUUCAUGUGGCAACAUGUUGAACCUAGGAUCUUCGGAUGCGGGUGGACGCGGUUGGACCAGCCCACCAGCAGGCGCAAAGUUUUAUUUUUCUACAUUUUUCUCGUAAGAUGUGACGUAAAAAUACCAAAAAAAAGAGGUUCAGGGAAUCAAACUAGCGACCUGUAGCUCUAAAGUCCUGCUGCUGGCCACUCUAACUGAACCUUGUUGGUGUGAAAAGAGAAGCACGAAAUAUUUAAGCACACAUGGCAGAGCCUAGAUUUGAUUUUUUGGUAUAAUUUUUCAAGACAUUUUCUUGAAAAUUAUCAAUAAUUUUGAAAUCAGAAUUUUACUAAAAGGAAAAACUAAUUUUUAGAACUCCAAUUUUUUUUUGCAAAAAUGUGAACAACUUUUUGGAAUCACGAACAGUUUUUUGUAAAACACAAACAAAACUUUUAAACAUGAAUCAUUUAUGAAAUCCCCAAACAUUUUAAAGUGCGAACACUUUCUGGAGAAAAGGAACAAAAUUUUAAAACACAAUUUUUUUAAACUUGAACAAAAUUUAAAGUGCGAACAAACUUUCAAAAUUUGUUCCCAUUUUUUAAAUAGAAAGGGUUAACAUUUUAAAAUUUUGCUCAUGUUUCAAAAUGUGUUCUCAUUUUUCAAAAAAUGGUUAUGUAAGUUCGUGUUUUGAAAAAUUGUUCUUACUUUAAUCUUUUUUAGGUUUAAUAAAUUGUUCAUGUUCUAAAAAUUUGUUUACCUUUAGAGAAGGUUCAUGUUUGAAAAAUUUAUGGGAAUUUAAAAAAUGGUUCACAUUUUCCAAAUUUGUUUGUAAUUUUCAAAAAAUGUUGUAAUUCCAAAAUUAGUUUACAUCUUUGCAAAAAGUUUGGAAAUUGAACAUUUAUUUUCAUCUUUUAAUAAUAUUCGGAUUCAAAAUUGUUGACUACUUUCAAGAAAAUGUUUUCAAAUCUUGAUGUUGCGUUGUGUGCUUAAAUACUUUCACGCAUCUCUUUUAUCAUCAAGAGUCAUCAGUUAGAGUGGUUAGUCGGAGUAGUUCAGCAGCGCUAGAUCACAUGUUCAAUUCCCUGUGAGUCUUACAUUUUUCGGUAUUUUUAUGUCAGACAUUACGUAUAUAAAAGAAAAACACGAUUCACCUUGGUGGGUCGGCCUAGUCGCUUCCUGCCGCAGCCAACGAUCCCGGUUCGACCUGCUGCCACGUUGACAAUCCCUUCAAAAACCUACUCAAGGUUUAAAAUAGACCGGGAUCAUAGAGUUUGGUGUGCUCAUUUCAGGGAUUAGAAGUUCAGGUUUUUAUCGUUUUAUCUUAUAAGCCAUGUGCGUUAAUUAGAGUAGCGGCCUCUUCCAGCAUAGCAGGCGUGCAUAGAUACCUGGAUGAAGUGCUACACCUACAAGACACAUUUUACGGGAUCUUUGUUAUGUCAAAUGGUUGUGUCAAAUUGUUGGAGAUUACUAGUUUAGGGGCGAGAGUGGCCCACCAUGAAAAUCACAAGGGGGAGUGUGAAGGAAAUAUGCCCUAGAGGCAAUAAUAAAGUUAUUAUUUAUUUCAUGGUAAAUGUUUAUUAUUCAUGCUAGAAUUGUAUUAACCGGAAACUUAGUACAUGUGUGAAUACAUAGACAAACAGAGUGUCCCUAGUAUGCCUCCACUUGACUAGCUCGUUAAUCAAAGAUGGUUAAGUUUCCUAGCCAUAGACAUGUGUUGUCAUUUGAUGAACGGGAUCACAUCAUUAGAGAAUGAUGUGAUGGACAAGACCCAUUCGUUAGCUUAGCAUUAUGAUAAUUUCAGUUUCAUUACUACUGCUUUCUUCAUGACUUAUACAUGUUCCUCUGACUAUGAGAUUAUGCAACUCCCGAAUACCGGAGGAACACCUUGUGUGCUAUCAAACGUCACAACAUAACUGGAUGAUUAUAAAGAUGCUCUAUAGGUGUCUCCAAAGGUGUUUUUUGGGUUGGCAUAGAUCGAGAUUAGGAUUUGUCACUCCGUGUAUCAGAGAGGUAUCUCUGGGCCCUCUCGGUAAUGCACAUCACUGUAAGCCUUGCAAGCAAUGUGACUAAUGAGUUAGUUGCGGGAUGAUGCAUUACGGAACGAGUAAAGAGACUUGCCGGUAAUGAGAUUGAACUAGGUAUGAUGAUACCGACGAUCGAAUCUCGGGCAAGUAACAUACCGUUGACAAAGGGAACAACGUAUGUUGUUAUGCGGUUUGACCAGUAAAGAUCUUCAUAAAAUAUGUAAGAGCCAAUAUGAGCAUCUAGGUUACGCUAUUGGUUAUUGACCGGAGAUGUGUCUCGGUCAUGUCUACAUAGUUCUCGAACCCGUAGGAUCCGCACGCUUAACGUUCGAUGACGAUUUCUAUUAUGGGUUAUGUGAUUUGAUGUACCGAAGGUUGUUCAGAGUCCCGGAUGAGAUGACGGACAUGACGAGAAGUCUCGAAAUGGCCGAGACGAAAAGAUCAAUAUAUUGGAAGGCUAUAUUCGAACAUCAGAAAGGUUCCGAGUGAUUCGGGUAUUUUUCGGAGUAUCGAAGAGUUACGGGGAUUCGCCGGGAGAAGUAAUGGGCCUUAUUGGGCUUUAGUGGAGAGAGGGGAGAAGGGCCAAGAGGUGGCACGCGCCUCCCCCCACCCAAACCGAAUUGGACAAGGGGUGGGGGCGCGUCCCCCCUUUCCUUCUCCCUCUCCCUCUCUUUCCUUCUCUCAUACUCCGAAUAGGAAAGAGGAGGGGAAUCCUACUUGGACUGGGGAGUCCUAGUAGGAUUCCCCACACCUGGCGCGCCCCCCUUGGGCCGGCCACCUCUUCCCUCCCCUCCUUUAUAUACGUGGCAGGGGCACCCCAAAGGCACUCAAGAUUUGUCUUAGCCGUGUGCGGUGCCCCCCUCCACUGUUACACACCUCGGUCAUAUCGUCGUAGUGCUUAGGUGAAGCCCUGCGCCCGUAACUUCAUCAUCACCGUCGCUACGCCGUCGUGCUGAUGAAACUCUCCCUCGGCCUCAACUGGAUCAAGAUUACGAGGGACGUCAUCGAGCUGAACGUGUGCUGAACACAGAGGUGUCGUACGUUCGGUGCUAGGAUCGGUCGGAUCGUGAAGACGUACGACUACAUCAACCGCGUUGAUAUAACGCUUUCGCUUUCGGUCUACAAGGGUACGUGGACACACUCUCCCCCUCGUUGCUAUGCAUCACCUAGAUAGAUCUUGCGUGAUCGUUGGAAUUUUUUUGAAAUUACUGCGUUCCCCAACAGUGGCAUCCGAGCCAGGUCUAUGCGUAGAUGUUAUAUGCACGAGUAGAACACGAAGAGAUGUGGGCGAUAAUAGUCAUACUGCUUACCAGCAUGUCAUACUUUGAUUCAGCGGUAUUGUUGGAUGAAGCGGCUCAGACCGACAUUACGCGUACGCUUACGCGAGACUGGUUCUACCGACGUGCUUCACACACAGGUGGCUAGUGGGUGUCUGUUUCUCCAACUUUAGUUGAAUCGAGUGUGACUAUGCCCGGUACUUGUUGAAGGUUAAAACAGCACACUUGACGAAAAAUCGUUGUGGUUUUGAUGCGUAGGUAAGAACGGUUCUUGCUAAGCCCGUAACAGCCACGUAAAACUUGCAGCAACAAAGCAGAGGACGUCUAACUUGUUUUUGCAAGGCAUGUUGUGAUGUGAUAUGGUCAAGACGUGAUGAUAUAUAAAUUGUUGUAUGAGAUGAUCAUGUUUUGUUAAAGUUAUCGGCAACCGGCAGGAGCCUUAUGGUUGUCUCUUUAUUGCAUAAGAUGCAAGCGCCAUAUAAUUGCUUUACUUUAUGGCUAUGCGAUAGCAAUAGUUGUAAAAGCAAUAGUUGGUGAGACAACCAUGUGACGACACGUUGAUAGAGAUCAAGAUGAUGGAGAUCAUGGUGUCAUGCUGGUGACGAUGGAGAUCAUGACGGUACUUUGGAGAUGGAGAUCAAAGGCACAAGAUAAUGAUGGCCAUAUCAUGUCACAUAUUUUGAUUGCAUGUGAUGUUUAUCUUUUAUGCAUCUUAUUUCGCUUAGUACGGCGGUAGCUUUAUAAGAUGAUCCCUUACUAAAAUUUCAAGGUAUAAUUGUUCUCCCUGAGUAUGCACCGUUGCAACAGUUCUUCGUGCUGAGACACCACAUGACGAUCGGGUGUGAUAAGCUCUACGUUCACAUACAACGGGUGCAAGCCAGUUUUGCACACGCAGAAUACUCGGGUUAAUCUUGACGAGCCUAGCAUAUGCAGAUAUGGCCUCGGAACACUGAGACCGAAAGGUCGAGCGUGAAUCAUAUAGUAGAUAUGAUCAACAUAGUGAUGUUCACCAUUGAAAGCUACUCCAUCUCACGUGAUGAUCGGACAUGGUUUAGUUGAUAUGGAUCACGUGAUCAUUUAGAUGACUAGAGGGAUGUCUAUCUAAGUGGGAGUUCUUAAGUAAUAUGAUUAAUUGAACUUUAAUUUAUCAUGAACUUAGUCCUGAUAGUAUUUGCAAAACUAUGUUGUAGAUCAAUAGCUCGCGAUGUAGCUCCCCGUUUAUUUUUUGAUAUGUUCCUAGAGAAAAGUAAGUUGAAAUAUGUUAGUAGCAAUGAUGCGGACUUGGUCCGUGAUCUGAGGAUUAUCCUCAUUGCUGCACAGAAGAAUAAUGUCCUUGAUGCACCACUAGGUGACAGAACUAUUGCAGGAGCAGAUACAGACGUUAUGAACGUUUGGCAAGCUCGGUAUGAUGACUACUUGAUAGUUUAAUGGACCAUGCUUUACGGCUUAGAACCGGGACUUCAAAAAUGUUUUGAACGCCAUGGAGCAUAUAAGAUGUUCCAAGAGUUGAAAUUGGUAUCUCAUACUCAUGCCCGUGUCAAGAGGUAUGUGACCUCUGACAGUACUUUGCCUACAAGAUGGAGGAGAAUAGCUCAACGAGUGAGCAUGUGCUCAGAAUGUCUGAGUACUACAAUCACUUGAAUCAAGUGGGAGUUAAUCUUCCCGAUAAGAUAGUGAUUGACAGAGUUCUCUAGUCACUAUCACCAAGUUAUUAGAACUUCGUGAUGAACUAUAAUAUGCAAGGGAUAACGGAAACAAUUCCCAAGCUCUUCGCGAUGCUGGAAUCGGCGAAGGUAGAAAUCAAGAAAAAGCAUCAAGCGUUGAUGGUUGACAAGACCACUAGUUUCAAGUAAAAGGGCAAGGGAAAGAAAGGGAACUUCAAGAAGAAUGGCAAGCAAGUUGCCACUCUUAUGAAGAGGCCCAAAGCUAGACCCAAGCCUGAAACUGAGUGCUUCUACUUCAAAGGAAAUGGUCACUGGAAGUGGAACUGCCCUAGAUACUUGGCGGAUAAGAAGGAUGGCAUAUUGAACAAAGGUAUAUUGGAUAUACAUGUUAUUGAUGUGCACUUUACUGGUGUUUAUAGCAACCCCUCGGUAUUUGAUACUGGUUCAGUUGCUAAGAGUAGUAACUCGAAACAGGAGUUGCAAAAUAAACAGAGACUAGUUAAGGGUGAGGUGAUGAUGUGUGUUGGAAGUGAUUCCAAGGUUGAUAAGAUCACCAUCGCACACUCCCUUUACCUUUGGGAUUAGUGUUGAACCUAAAAUAAAUGUUAUUUGGUGUUUGUGUUGAGCAUAAUAUGAUUGGAUCAUGUUUAUUGCAAUACGGUUAUUCAUUUAAGUCAAAGAAUAAUUGUUGUUCUAUUUACAUGAAUAAAACAUUCUAUGGUCAUACACUCAAUGUAAAUGGUUUAUUGAAUCUCGAUCGUAGUGAUACACAUAUUCAUAAUAUUGAAGCCAAAAGAUGCAAAGUUAAUAAUGAUAGUGCAACUUAUUUGUGGCACUGCCGUUUAGGUCAUAUUGGUGUAAAGCGCAUGAAGAAACUCCAUGCUGAUGGGCUUUUGGAAUCACUUUAUUAUGAAUAACAUGAUUCUUGCGAACCAUGCCUCAUGGGUAAGAUGACUAAGACUCUGUUCUCCGGACCAAUGGAGCGAGCAACUGACUUAUUGGAAAUAAUACAUACUGAUGUAUGCGGUCCGAUGAGUGUUCAGGCUCGCGGCGGGUAUCAUUAUUUUCUGACCUUCACAGAUGAUUUGAGCAGAUAUGGGUAUAUCUACUUGAUGAAACAUAAGUCUGAAACAUUUGAAAAGUUCAAAGAAUUUCAGAAUAAAGUGGAAAAUCAUCGUAACAAGAAAAUAAAGUUUCUACGAUCUGAUCGCGGAGACGAAUAUUUGAGUUACGAGUUUGGUCUUCAAUUAAAACAAUGUGGAAUAGUUUCACAAACUCAUGCCACCUGGAACACCACAACAUAAUGAUGUGUCCGAACGUCAUAACUGUACUUUAUUGGAUAUAGUGCAAUCUAUGAUGUCUCUUACCGAUUUACCACUAUCAUUUUGGGGUUAUGCAUUAGAGACAGCUACAUUCACGUUAAAUAGGGCACCGUCUAAUCCGUUGAGACGACACCGUAUGAACUAUGGUUUGGCUAGAAACCUAAGCUGUCGUUUCUUAAAGUUUGGGGUUGCGAUGCUUAUGUGAAAAAGUUUCAACCUGAUAAGCUCGAACUCAAAUCGGAGAAGUGCAUCUUCAUAGGAUACCCAAAAGAAAAUAUUGGGUACACCUUCUAUCACAGAUCCGAAGGCAAGAUCUUUGUUGCUAAGAAUGGAUUCUUUCUAGAGAAGAAGUUUCUCUUGAAAGAAGUGAGUGGGAGGAAAGUAGAACUUGAUGAGGUAAUUGUACCUUCUCCCGAAUUGGAACGUAGUUCAUCACAUAAAUCAGUUCCGGUGAUGCCUGCACCAAUUAGCGAGGAAGUUAAUGAUGAUGAUCAUGAAACUUCAGAUCAAUUUACUACCAAACCUCGUAGGUCAACCAGAGUACGUUCCGCACCAGAGUGGUACGGUAAUCUGGUUCUGGAAGUCAUGUUACUAGACCAUGACGAACCUACGAACUAUGAGGAAACGAUGAUGAGCCCAGAUUCCGCAAAAUGGUUUAAGGCCAUGAAAUCUGAGAUAGGAUCCAUGUAUGAAAACAAAGUAUGGACUUUGGUGGAAUUGCCCGAUGAUCGGCAAGCCAUUGAGAAUAAAUGGAUCUUCAAGAGGAAGACGGACACUGAUGGUAGUGUUACUAUCUACAAAGCUCGACUUGUCGCGAAAGGUUUUCGACAAGUUCAAGGUGUUGACUACGAUGAGUUUUUCUCACUCGUAGCGAUGCUUAAGUCUGUACGAAUCAUGUUAGCAAUUGCCGCAUUUUAUGAAAUCUGGCAAAUGGAUAAACAAAACUGCAUUCCUUAAUGGAUUUAUUAAAGAAGAGUUGUAUAUGAUGCGACCAGAAUGUUUUGUCAAUCCUAAAGGUGCUAACAAAAUAUGCAAGCUCCAGCGAUCCAUCUAUGGACUGGUGCAAGCAUCUCGGAGUUGGAAUAUACGCUUUGAUAAGUUGAUCAAAGGAUAUAGUUUUAUACAGACUUGCGGUGAAGCCUGUAUUUACAACAAAGUGAGUGGGAGCACUACAACCUUUCUGAUAAGUAUAUGUGAAUGACAUAUUGUCGAUCAGAAAUGAUGUAGAAUUUUUUGGAAAGCAUAAAGGAGUGUUUGAAAGGACUUUUUCAAAGAAAGACCUCGGUGAAGCUGCUUACAUAUUGAGCAUCAAGAUAUGUCGGGGUUUUGGUGCGACAUAUGCCAACGGGUGGCUUAUCAUGGUGGGGGAUAGUAAGACGUCGCUGGUGCCAGGAAGCGGGAUGAGGCAUAGACAUGUAUGCCGGCGAACUUUACCCAGGUUCGGGGCUCUCCUAGGAGAUAAGACCCCUAGUCCUGCUCUGCGGGGUCUCCGCGUGAUCACUAUCUCAACAAGCAGCUACAAGUUGCUCCUUGAGCUGUUUGCUAGAGGAAGAAGAAGGGCAAGGCUAGCUCUCUCCUCUCUCUCUCUGUGUGUGGUUGUGUAGUCUAAGGGUCCGAACCCUUUGUAUGGGUGCCCUGGGGGGUUUAUAUAGGCCUACCCCCAGGGGUACAAUGGUAAACUAGCCGGGUGUAGGCCCAGGCCGUCAGUGUCUCUCGUGGCUGGCUUCUCCGCUCGCUGCUGGGGCCCGCCGACUGGUGGGCCCCGCCGGCUGUCUUGUACUUGGCCGACAGGCCGCGCCAGCCGCUUGCGGGUCUUGCGGGCUGCUCAUCACUGUAGUCGUGCUUCUAAUGAUGCUUGCUUUGUCGGGGGAGGCGUGGCUACAGUCCCGCCGCCUGGUGGGCGUUCAUUGUAGCCAUUCCCCAUCUCUUCUGGUUAAUGGCGCACAAACUCCUAGGAAGGGGGAGGGCCGCCUUCUGGGUGCCGGCCUCCCCCUUGGCCAACUGGCUAAGGCUAGCCGCCUUCCGGUUCCUCACGGGCAGGUAGGGCCCACCACCUGCAGGUCGUACCAACAUCCCGUCGUGGGCGCAUGGUCCCUUCUGACUGGGAUGAUGUCAUGGGCGGAGGGGCCACAGUGCCGCGCCGUGCAGGAGAUCUCCGGCUGGUACGGCGCACUGUGGCCACGACCCGCCCUGGAUUCGAGGGUGUCAAGCUUUGCUGUAGCCACGCCCCGUCCCAUCGUGCUUAAGAGGGCGCAGGUUUUGAGGGCGCCUGGGGCCGCCUGCUAGGAGCCGGCCUCUCUGGAGGCCAUCUGCUAGGAGGCGGCCCGCUUCGUGGCCGUCUUCUGGGGUCCGCCGCCUUCCGGCAGCCGGCCGCUUGGACCAGCCGGCUUCGAGAAGGUGGCGACCAAGGUUUGAGGUUUGAGGGGCACAGUCGGCCCCGAUGUCUUGAAAUGCCAUGGGGGGCUGAUGAGGCUACCCAUGGCCAAUAACUCCGACAGUAGUCCCCGAAGCUGGUGGGUCGCCGCGGCUGACAAGGCGGGGUGCCCCUGCAGCUUCCCACUCUGAGUAGUCUUGUUUGCUCGUCUUGUCCGUCUUCUGGUAUGCCGACUGCUAGGAGCCGGAUGCGGUAGACGGCCGCUUGAUGAAUUUUGAACCGCCAAGGCGGGAACCAGGUGGCGUGCUAGCUAGGCAUCUAGGCUUGCCGCCCGCCGCUCGCACACCACGCGGCGUCAGCCAGCCAGGCCGGCCUGCCAGCCCACGAGCAUGACGGGACGUGCUGCAGGCCGGGCCCGCCACUACCAGGCCUCGGCGCACGCGGAUUCGCUGCGGCCGAGGCGGGGCGGUUGGGAUCCCUCGCGCCAUUACCACGCGUCUUUACCGUGUGGUAAAUGCGGGGUCGUGGGGACGUAGGCACAGUUAAUCCCACGACCCCACGCCCCGCCCCCUCGGCUUCACCGCUAGGGGCUAUAAAUCGGGGGAGAAGAGGAGCAGCAAAGGCACGCACGCUCUCCUCUCCCUCGUCUCCUCUUGCUUCUUCCUUUCCUUCGUCGCCGCCGCACUCGCACUCCGUCGAAGUGCUAUCGCUGCUCGUCGUCGCCUUCGAGCUUCUUCUUCCUGAGCUCUGUCUCCGCUCCGCCGCGGGCUCGCGCGCUAGUCACCGCCGUUCGUCUUCGUCGAGCUCGGGCCCUCAUGGAGCGCUCCGGCGACUGGGAUGGCUCCAAUGUCCUUGAAGACCAUCUCACAUUCCUCCGCGACACGCGGCAGCUGCCCGGCGCAGGCUACAUCAAGACGCGCGUGCCGCCCCCCGACAAGAUCUCGCCGGCGCCGGAGGAAGGCGAGCGCGUCAUCUUCCGCUCGCACUUCCUCCGUGGCUUUGGCCUGCCGGCGAGCGGCUUCCUCCGCUCGUUCCUGACUUUCUAUCGACUCCAGCCGCACCACCUCACACCGAACAUGGUGGUGCUGCUGUCGGCUUUCGCCACCCUCUGCGAGGGUUACCUUGGCAUCCUCCCCACCCUCGAGCUCUGGGGAGCCUUCUUCUACACCAAGCUUGGCACCUCUGCGAAGGAGGAGGCGACCCAAUGCGGGGCUUUCAUCGCAGUGCGGCACCCGUGUGCUAGAAACGCCUUCCCAGCCAUCAAGCUGAUACAGUCAGUCAAGCUAUGGCAGAAGUCAUACUUCUAUGUGAAGAACGUCGACCCGGCGAUCGACUUCAUCAACCUGCCGGCUUACGUGGCCGGUCCGCCUGCCGAGCCCUGCACCAACUGGGGCUUCAAGCCGCUGUCGCCCGACGCAUCCGCCGCCAUCGCCCGCCUCAAAGUGAUGAAGGAGUCGGAGGGCCUCAAGGCGUCCGACUUGUUGGUCGCCUUCGUGGUGCGUCGAGUCCUCCCGCUCCAAGUCCUGCCUCACAUCAUAAGCCAGAUGAGUGGGCAUCGCGACCCAUGCCGGAUGUGCACCAAGGAGAUGCCGACUGCCGAAGUGGCCUAUCUGGUGAAUGAGAUUGCCAACCUCAAGCUCGAGCCGGAGGAGGGGCGGUUCGGCAAGCGGCCGUACUCCCGCGCAGAUCCGCCGCCUAUGGUUAGCUCUUGAUUCUUUUCUUUUCCUCUUGUCGGCUUCUCUCUUGCCGGCUUCUCUCUUGCCGGCUGACCAGCUCGACCAUGACACAGGUCCUCCCCCUCCAACUGGAGGCCAACGUCGACUUCAUGCCGGACCGGGAAGUGAGCGACGUGGCGGACCCCGACUUGGGGGCGGCCGCCCUGGAGGACGACGCCACAGGCGGUGGUGGUGGAGCAGGCGGCUCCGUAGGAGGAGGAGGCGUGGAGGACUAGUCGGAUGACGACGAGGAGGAGGAAGAGGAGGAGGAGGUGCCGUGCCGCCUGCCGCCUUUUGACAGGGCGGGCGCAAGCUCCUCGGCCGCACCAACCGCACCAGGCGGUGGGUCAAAACGCCAAGGCGUGCUGCUAUUCGGCAGCCACCCCAAAAAGCCCAAGCACUCGGCCGCUACUGCCAAGAACACGGCCACAACGACUAAGCGGUGCGAGGCCGCCGCGAAGGCGGCCAAGUUCCAGAAGGCCCCCAAGCAGCCUUCGAUGGUGUCAGCGUAAGUUUCCAACUUAUCUAGUGUCUUCUUUUAAUCUUUUAUCUUGUCGACUCCUUCUGAAUCUCCUUCUUACUCUUCUCUUGAGCAGGGCCCCGCUCUCACUUGAGCGGCCGACCUCAGCCUCCGUCGUCAGGGCGGCGGAGGGCUCCACCAACAAUCUCCGUAUAGACCCUGCCGCCGAUCUCCGGGAGGCGCAGGAAAGGAACGCACGGGAGGUGCAGGAGGAGAAAGAGGACACCGCCAAGAAGCGGAGGCCGACAAGGCGGCCGCAGCCAAGGCGGCACAAGCGGACGCAGACACUACGGCCAAGCCCCAAGCCGACACCGCGGCGAAGGGAGGGGCGGAGAAUGCCGCACACCAGCAGAUCCCGUAGCUCAUCACCCCCCUGCGCUGCGCGCCACCAGCGCCAGAGUUCUUGGCGCCAGCUGGGGGAGCCGGUGAUGAGCAGUCGGUCAUGGAGAGGGAAGGCGGCGAUGCCGUCUUUCCAGAGGUGGAGGUGCCUCCGCAACCGCCGACUGCGGAUGCGCAAGGCAGUCAGCCGACCGCCCCAUUUGUGACGCCAGCCGGAGGCGAGCUGGUGGUGGGCUCGGCUCCCACGGCCUGCACUCCAGUGCGUCGCCGUGGCGAGAAAGCUGCAUCGGCGCUGAGGCCGAUGGAGGUCGGGAGCGCCAGUUCGUCGGCCCCUGAAGCUGAAGCCACCAGCGCCGCGCCGGCCGAGUGGGUGCACGGGGGCGGGACGAGCGCCUUGAUCAAGGCAGCACAAGAUGUCCAAGCCGAUUUCAAGGCCGAAGCCACUGCCCUCUCGCAAUGCAUGAAGGCGUUCGUGAAGACACGGGCCACCGUCCGGGUACGCAACUUGCUUUUUGCUCUUGAUUCUUGUAAUCUUUGGUGGGGGCGUGCCAGCGCACCCACUGGGUAUAGUUCCCGAGUUCUGGGCCUGCUGCUGAGCAGGCGACUUGGAACUUCAUAGUGGGUUCUGAGCUCUGGCUCACUUCUUUUUCUGUUGCUUUGUUGCAGGAUUACCACAACAUUCGCGCGGCCACCUUCAACGCCAAUGUCCGGGAGCUAGACCAACGGACCGCCGAUUUGACGGAAAGCCGGAGUAAGCACUCGGUCUUCUUUUCUCCGCAGGGGCGCGUCAGCGCACCCGCGGGCUGUAGUCCCCGAGAUGCGAGCCAACUACUGAGCAGUCGGGUCAGAUCUUCCGGUAGUUACUUUUCUUCCUUCUUGAUCGUUUAUAUCUUUUCUUUCUUGUUCUUGCACAAACCAACACCGUCUUGCAGCAGCAACUGGGCGAAGCCAACACCGCACUGCGUGCCAAGGAGGACGAGUGCAACAGGGUGGCCCAGGAGCGCGACCGCUUGGCCAAGGAACUGAAGGACCAGGCGGAGCUUCACAAGGCAGCCCUGAAGCAGGUGGAGGACAAUGAAGCCAAGCUCCUGGCCGAGUUCGAGACCGAGCGCACGGGUUGGGCUGAGAUGGAGGCGGCACUGACCGCUGGAUACGGCCAGAUCGAAGACAUAGUCGAUGGUGAGCUUUCUUCUCUUCUCUCAACUGCUGGCUUGUCUAACGAGCCAGCUUCUAGCUUCUGACUCCUGACUUAUUGUUCGCUUGUGCAGACAUCUUCCCCGAACAUUCCACCUUUGCCAACCAGGCCAUUGAGUCUCGCCGCAAGGAGCGAAGGGCGGAGGGCGCGAAGAUUGCUGUCGACGCCCCUCGGACCCUUGGCGAGUAGCUCCUUAGCAUUCAGGCUCAUCUCCAGCUGGCCCACCGGAUGCUCCGUCGGCUGUAGCAUGUUGGUUCUCAGGCAGUCUCCGCCCCCUGGCCAGAUAGGCAAGCCCCACGCACCCCCAGUCGGACCGCCGACUGGUUGGAAGCGGCCGCCGGCCGUCUUGAGGCGUGAAAGGGCUCCACGGCCCGAGCAGGAGCGCGGCGGGCCUUGGAGUUCGCCAAGGCGUGGUAUCCUGGGCUUGAUCUAGCCCAGUUGGCCAUGUUCCGGCAGGAAGCCAGCGCUGAGCUGGUGGCGCUGGAGUGCGACCUUACUAUCCGCGCCACCGCGAUCGCCGAGUACACCAACACCGGUGACUUCGUCCCUGAGCUGAACGAAAACAGUGCCGAGGUGCCGCCAGAAUGGUUCGGACUGAACCCGGAUGACGGUGAAGACUCGGUAGAGGAGAUCGCCUCUAGCGACGAGGGGGAAGACAAGGAAGACGAGGAUGAUGAAGACGGCGCACCGGAGGUCGAAGCGGGCGACCAGCCUCAACUCGACCGCGCCUCCAGCACUGAGCUGCGUGCAAGCACGCUGACUAUUGCUGAAAGUGGCCAAGCCGAAACUUGCUAGCCGGCCACCAGCCGGCGCCCCCGACUCCACCAACCUACCAGACUUGCCUGCCGCUCCUUUGGUCUAGGCCGCCAGUUUAUCGUAGCUUUUUCUGCUUAGUAGUUUUCUCAACAAACUUUUAUUAAAUUUGCACAAUUCCAUCUGCGGGGUGUAUUCAAACUAUGUUGAAUACUGGCCGAUGGCCUUUUGGUAUGUAAAUUAUUUCUCGCACAAGCCGUGCUUUUGCCGAGUUCCGACUUAUUCUUGAUUUUUGUUCCUUGGCUUUUUUCCUUUGCCGCCCUCCCAUGGUUUCCUAGUUGCCAACCGGACAGCCGCUUUGUGGACUACGGCCUAGUCAAGUAUUUCAUCGUUGUGGGAGGACAAGUACUUUGGCCGAUUGGAACGUUGCAAGCUAAGUAGGAAGCCGGCCGGCCGGCUGCUCAGCAGCCGGUCGGUGAGGCAAAGGGCCGACCUGUCCUAUGUCGAUGUUUCGGUCCUUAGCCAUUUUUCAUGUGAGCACUAUUUCUUGCCUUUAACUCUUGUCAAGUGAACAGUCGCUCUACGAGCUGUGGCUUGUGGCAAGAGAGGGCUUAGGUGCUUGCACAUUACUUGUCCGACUGCAGGAAACAUCGACAUAGUACAAGGCGGCAAGCCCCCAGGCCAACUAGUCGAACCCGGUUUCAGGCGGAGGAAUGAAAUAACACAUUCAUAGGCAGAAUACUUAUCAUAUUGAUAAAAAAGGGGUAGCCCUCGAGUGCUCCUCGAGGGACCCGAAGUCUUCUUACUUAAUACGAAAGGUAGCAUGGUACAUACUGCAUCAACUGUAAAAUCUUCGAAGGAGAUUUGCAUUCCAUGGGCGCUCUAUUUCCUUGCCGGAGUGGUCCCUCUUGCGCGCCCUGGGCUUCUGGGCAUCGAUCAGGUAGUAGGAGUCAUUGCCCAAGGCUUUGUUGAUGAUGAAAGGGCCUUCCCAAGGGGCCGAGAGCUUGUGUUGGCCGGCUGUUCGCUGGAUCAGCCGGAGCACAAGGUCUCCCUCUUGGAAGGAUCUUGGCUUGACCUUCCGGCUGUGGUAGCGGCUAGACUCUGCUGGUAGAUUGCGGACCGACUGAGUGCCAACAACCGGCCCUCUUCCAGCAGAUCGACGCCGUCUUCUCGUGUUUCCUUUGCCUCCGCCUCCGUGUACAUGGUGACGCGAGGUGAGUCGAACUCGAUGACAGUUGGGAUGACAGCCUCGGCAACAUGUACGAGGAAGAAGGGUGUGAAGCCGGUUGACUUGUUCGGAGUGGUGCGCAGACUCCACAGGACGGCCGGCAGCUCGUCGAGCUAGCAGCCGGCCGAACGCUCUAGAGGCUCGACCGGUCGGGGCUUGAUUCCGGACAAAAUGAGGCCGUUUGCUCGCUCAACCUGGCCGUUUGACUGUGGCUGGGCAACAAACGCUAAGUCCAGUCGGAUGCCCUGCGGCGCACAGAAACGGGCCAAGGCACCUUUGCCAAAAUUUGUGCCAUUGUCGGUGAUGAUGCUGUGCGGUACGCCGUACCGAGUGGUGAUGUCUGUAAUGAAAGUCACAGCAGUCGGACCGUUCAACUUCUUGAUUGGCUUUGCUUCUAUCCACUUGGUGAAUUUAUCCAUGGCAACGAGCAGAUGAGUCAUGCCGCCGCGUGCUGUCUUGAACGGUCCCACCAUGUCCAGUCCCCAGACGGCAAAAGGCCAGGCAAGGGGAAUGGUCUUGAGUGCAGAAGCUGGCAGAUAUUUCUUGGAACUGAACUUCUAGCACCCUUUGCAUUUCUUGACCAAGUCUUUGGCAUCUUCUAGAGCAGUAGGCCGGAAGAAACCGUGGCGAAAAGCUUUGGCCACAAGUGAUCUUGAGGGCGUGUGGUGGCCACACUCUCCUUGAUGGAUAUCCUUGAGGAUUGCUUGGCCCUUCUCCCGCUCUACGCAGCGCUGGUACACACUAGUGACACUGCGUCUCACAAGUUCCCUGUUGACGAUGGUGUAUGCUGCUGCCCGACGUUGCACCUGUCGGGCCGUGAUCUCAUCGGUUGGCAGCUCUUUGUUCACCAGAAACUUGAGGAUGGGCUCUGCCCAUGAUGGUGCUUGAAUUUCUUCUACUGCCACUAUGGCCACUUGUACAAGGACGGUUGGGUUGGGAGGUGGCGGGUUGGAGUCGGCCGCCGCUUGCUGUGUCGUUGAAGUCCCCAAGCCGACUGCUGCAGUCCCCGGGCCGGGAUCUGAAGUCCCCGGGCCGGGUGCGACUGCUGCAGUCCUCGAGACGCCUGCUGAAGUCCCCGAGCCGACUGCUGCAGCCUUUGAGUCAGAUCCGACGGUUUCAGGAGCAGCCAGCACGAAGAUAGACUCUGAUUUUGGAGAAGGCUUGAUCGACGGCUUGCGGAGGUACUGGAGGGAGACACCGGCUGGUAUUGCUUGACGGGUGGAGCCGAUCCGUGCCAAGGUAUCGGCUGGCUCAUUGUCGUUUCGUGGAACAUGAAGGAACUCACACCCUUCAAAAUAUCCACUGAGUUGCUGGACGAGGAAGCGGUAGCUUGCCAUAUUCGCAUCCUUGGUGUCCCAGUCGCCAGACGACUGUUGGACCACCAAGUCAGAGUCACCGUAGCACAGAAUCCGGCGAAUGCCGAGCUCUUUGGCAAGCCGGGGUCCGUGUACUAGUGCCUCAUACUCGGCCACAUUGUUGGAGGCGGCAAAAUGGAUUUGCAGUGUGUAUCUAAGCUUGUCGCCUUUGGGAGAGCUGAGGACGAUGCCGGCUCCCAAACCAGUGCGCAUCUUUGAACCAUCAAAGUGCAUCCGCCAAUGGGUGGAGUCCGGCGCUGGCGGCAGGUACUGGGUCUCGGCCCAGUCGACGAGGAAGUCGGCCAGCGCUUGGGACUUGAUGGUGGUGCGAGGCUGGUAGAAGAUGGUGUGGGGAGCCAACUCGAUGGCCCAUUUGGCCACUCGGCCUGAAGCAUCAUGGCUGCCUAUGAUCUCAGCAAGCGGGGCAGUGCAAACAACCGUGAUGGGGUGCUCUUGAAAAUAUGGCUUUAAUUUCUUGGCAGUAAAGUGCACGCCGUAGCACAUCUUCUGGUAGUGGGGGUAGUUUUGCUUGGAAGCAGACAACACUUCACUCAGAUAAUACACCGGUCUCUGGACCGGCACAACCUUGCCGUCUUCCUUGCGCUCAACUACCAUGACUGUGCUGACCACCCGGCUGGUGGCGGCGAUGUAGAGGAGCAUGGGCUACUUAGCAGCCGGCGCGGCCAGGACAGGCGGCGUGGUCAACAUCUUCUUGAGUUGGAGAAAAGCCUCAUCCGCCUUGUCAUUCCACUCGAAGUGAGUGGUUUUCUUCAGGAGCUGGUACAGGGGAAGUGCCUUCUCGCCUAGCCGACUGAUGAAGCGGCUGAUGGAUGCCAGGCAGCCGGUGAACUUCUGGACAUCUCUCAGUCGGGUAGGCUUCUCCAUCCUCUCGAUGGCCUUGAUCUUCAUAGGGUUGCACUCGAUGCCGCGUUCGGAGGCCAGGAAGCCGAGGAGCUGGCCGGCUGGUACUCCGAACACGCACUUCUCGGGGUUGAGCUUGAUCUGAAAUCAGCGCAGAUUUUCAAAAGUCUCCUUGAGAUCUUCUAGGAGGGUCCCACGCUUCUCCGUCUUCACCUCAACAUCGUCCACAUAGACGUGGGAGUUUCUGCCAAGCUGCUUGAGGAGGCACUUCUGCAUGCAAUGCUGAAACGUGGCGCCGGCGUUCCUCAAGCCGAACAUCAUUGUCAGGUAGCAGAAGGCUCUGAAUGGUGUGAUGAAAGAGGUCUUCAGCCUAUCAGCCAGGUUCAACUUGAUCUGGUGGUACCCUGAAUAUGCAUCCAAAAAACUCAACAGCUCGCAUCCGGCUGUAGAGUCUAUCACUUGGUCAAUCCUUGGCAAGGCAAAUGAAUCUUUGGGGCAAGCAUUGUUGAGGCUGGUAUAAUCAAUACACAUGCACCACUUGUUGUUCUUCUUCAGUACAAGGACUGGGUUGGCCAGCCAAUCUGGAUAGAAUACUUCCAUAAUGAAGCUGGCUGCUAGGAGCCGGGCUAUCUCUUCACCGACAAUUCUUCUCUUCUCCGACAGGCGGCGGAGGGGUUGCUUGACCGGUUUGGCGUCAGGUCGGACGUGUAGCUUGUGCUCGGCGAGAUCCGUUGGAACACCCGGCAUGUCCUUAGGAGACCAUGCAAAGAUGUCCCGAUUCUCAUGGAGGAAAUCGAUGAGCUCGCUUUCCUAUUUGCUGUCGAGGUUUGCACCUAUGACAGCAUACCUCUCCGGGUGCUCUGGGUCCAAUGGCAUCUUCUUUGUCUCCUUGGCCGGCUUGAAGGAGCCCUCAGCUUCUGACUCCUUGGGAUCAGGGGACAUGUCCGGCUGCUUGUCGGCCAUGGCCACAACCCGGUCAAGGAGCCGCUUCUCGGCAGCGAUUAGGGGACAUGUCCGACUGCUAGCGGCCGCAUAGGCAGACGACUUCUGGUAAUAACCCCUUUGGUACUUGGCAUCUUCAUCUUGAGGUAAGCAUAGUGCGGCACCGCCAUGAAUUUGGCCAAGGAAGGUCGGCCAAGCAGUGCAUGGUAAGGGCUCUCAAGGUCAACUACUUCAAACCAAAUGGGCUCUCGGCGGAAAUGAUCUUUGUCUCCAAAGAGGACAUCUAUCUUGAUCUUGCCGAUUGGUGAGUGAGAUAGGCCAGGAACUAUGCCAUGGAAGACAGUCCGACUGGGCAGGAGAUGCUUUGGCUUGAUGUUCAACUUCUCCAUGGUGUCGCGGUACAGGAUGUUGAUGCUGCUACCGCCAUCUAUCAGGACUCGGGAGAAGCGAGUAGCUCGCCUCUCCCUAGCAAAGGUGGCUUCCAAUACCAGAGCAUAGGAACUCGGAGAAGGCAUUACUUCCGGAUGGUCGGCUCGGCUCCAACUGAUUGGCUUUUCUAACCAGUGCAUGAACUCUGGAGCUUCCGUAGCUACGACAUUCACCUCUCGGGAGUGCUGGCGAUGGCCGCGCCUGUCAUUGGCCACACUGGUGAAGACGACGUAGGCUCCUUGCUCUUCUGGGUACUCGUCUUGGAUGGCGGCAACUGGCCGGGGGGCCUGCUGCGGAGGAGGAGGCGGCGGCGGCUGGCCAGCAGGCGGAGGAGGCAGCAAUCCUUCGCUCUUGGAGAUUCGGGUGAGCCAGUGACACUUCUGAGUGAUGUGGUUGGACGGCUUCGCGCCACUGUGGAACUUGCAGGGCGCAUCAAGGGUUUGCUCACAGGAGAAGGCGGGCAACCAAUUUGGCUUGCCGCCCCUCUGACGUUUGGGAGCAAGCUGCCCCUCCGGCUGCUGGUCUUCGACUGUCGCCACCUGCCGGCUGGUGGGAGCCGGCUGUGGCGCCUUGCGCUUGUUGUUGUUUUGUUGCUGACGCCAACUGGUGUCACCAGCCGGAGUCCGAGGGGCCCGAGGAGCCACUUUGCUGGAUGCAUCAACUUGAAUCUCCAUCUUCAUGGAAGAGUCGGCCGUGGCGUACUUGUCUGCUAUGAUCAGCAGCUCAUCGAGGGUUGCCGGCUCGUCGCAGAGAAGUCGGUGCUUGAGCAGGGUGCCUUCUCUGCACCUGGCUGUGAAGUACUCAAUGGCCUGCACCUCGUGCACGCCUUCAUAAGAGUUGCGCAGCUUGGCCCAACGCAUGAGGUAGUCGCGAGUCGAUUCGGCGGGACCUUGGACGCACAAGGUGAGCUGACGAGGCUUGGGAGGCCGCUUGUAUGUGCUGGUGAAGUUGCGGAUGAAGGCUUCAGUGAAAUCUACCCAGCUGUUGAUGCUGCAGGGCUUCAGGCUGUUCAGCCAUGUCCGGGCGGUGCCCUGUAGCAUGAGCGACACGUACUUCACGGCAACGCGCUUGUUGCCGUUCGCUAUGCUGACGGCCGUGGAGUAGUCGACCAACUAGUCUUCCGGCUUCACGGAGCCGGUGUACUUGGGCGUGCUCUUGGGAGCGUGAACCCUUUGGGGAAGAGCUCGUCGCGGAUGCGGGGGCCGAAACAAGGCGGGCCCAGUGCGUCUUCUUCUUCUAGCGCCAGGGAUCGAUUGAGGCGGUCGAUCCGGUGGCAGGCAUCGUUUUCUCCGAUUCCUUCUCGGGGGCCAAGCCGGCCACCGAGACUCGGGUGAUCAACAGGCGGCGGGGAGACGCGCCUUUCUCUGCACAGAGGAGGCUGAUAGUCGCCUGGUCGUUCCACCGCUCGUGGGCGGCCGUCUUGAUCGCACUCGAUGGUGAUGUGCAUCCGACUGAGGUUUGUAGCCAGCUCCUUGUCUCGUCGUCUGCGGGCGCUGCCAGUCGGUGUCCGGGAUGUCGUGUCGUGCUCUUGGCGAGGAGGCGGGUCAUCAUUCCGCUGGUUGGGCUCCUCGACGUGACAGCCGGCUUCUUGCUGCUCAGCGGCCGCGUCAAUGAGCCGUUGGACGCGCUCCGUCAUGUGGCGACGCUCGUCGCCCUCAAGGUUGUCCAGCUCAUCUACUGCCGCCUGGGCAGCUCGUAUGUUUUCCCUGGGCGUAGCGUAGACAGGGCGGUCUUCCCUGAACAUGCUAGCAAUGGCCGUGCCGUGUUGCCGGACCGUGCCGAUGUGGCUGGGCCCGCCAGGAGCCGGCGUGCCGCCGACAGCGCGAUCCAUCUCACGCUGGUAAGCCUCCGAGAGGCGUCUCAUGCUGGCUAGCUUCUUGGCGCUCUCGACGAGCUAGACGCGGCGGGCUUCCAGUGUCUCGGUGUCGGCAUCUUCUGCAAUGGGUGCAGACAGGUCUCGUAGCGUCGCCUCGAACGGGUCUCGAGCGCCGUCACCGGAAGCUCCAUCGUGACUAAUGACGAGCACCUCCGUGAUGGUGCUGCCGCCGCUGUCAUAGCGAGGGAGAGGAUCGUCGAUGACCACCACAUUGGUGGGGAACACGUCGAGGGAUGCCGUGUCGGAGUCGACAAGCAUUGGGUCGGUGGAGCCGGUCGACUCCAAGUCGAAGGCCGGCUCGUUGGCGAUGUGGAGCUGGUCGAGGAGGCUGACGAGGCAGCUCUCUGGGCCGUCUGUGCCUGCGUCGGAUGCAAGCUCGUCGGAGAGGUGGAUCUCGCCAACAAGGUCAGCGAGGCAACUUGCAGCGCAAGCGACCUCCGCGCUAUGCAGCGCGUCGGUGCAAACGCCGUCUGGCGUGCCGGGCUGGCUACGCUCGCCAAGAAGGAAGAGGGUUCCCGUCCAGAAUAGAUCUCCGAACGAUGGUGCACCUAGCCCCAAGGUGGGCACCAAAUGUCGGGGUUUUGGUGCGACAUAUGCCAAUGGGUGGCUUAUCAUGGUGGGGGAUAGUAAGACGUCGCCGGUGCCAGGAAGCGGGAUGAGGCGUAGACAUGUACGCCGGCGAACUUUACCUAGGUUCGGGGCUCUCUUAGGAGAUAACACCCCUAGUCCUGCUCUGCGGGGUCUUGAUACGUCCAUUUUGCAUCAUGCUUUUAUAUUGAUAUUUAUUGCAUUAUGGGCUGUUAUUACACGUUAUGUCACAAUACUUAUGCCUAUUCUCUCUUAUUUUACAAGGUUUACAUGAAGAGGGAGAAUGCUGGCAGCUGGAAUUCUAGGCUGGAAAAGGAGCAAAUAUUAGAGACCUAUUCUGCACAACUCCAAAAGUCCUAAAACUCCACGGAAGUUAUUUUUGGAAUUAAUAAAAAAUACUGAGCGAAGAAAGUACCAGAGGGGGCCACCCAACAUCCAUGAGGGUGGGGGCGCGCCCUACCCCCUGGGCGCGCCCCCUGCCUCGUGGGCCCCCUGGCAGGCCUCCGGUGCCCAUCUUCUGCUAUAUGAAGUCUUUUACCCUGGAAAAAAUCAUAAGCAAGCUUUCGGGACAAAACACCGCCGCCACGAGGCGGAACCUUGGCGGAACCAAUCUAGGGCUCCGGCGGAGCUGUUCUGCCGGGGAAACAUCCCUCAGGGAGGGGGAAAUCAUCGCCAUCGUCAUCACCAACGAUCCUCUCAUCGGGAGGGGGUUAAUAUCCAUCAACAUCUUCACCAGCACCAUCUCAUCUCAAACCCUAGUUCAUCUCUUGUAUCCAAUCUUUGUCCCAAAGCCUCAGAUUGGUACCUGUGGGUUGCUAGUAGUGUUGAUUACUCCUUGUAGUUGAUGCUAGUUGGUUUAUUUGGUGGAAGAUCAUAUGUUCAGAUCCUUUAUGCACAUUAAUACCCCUCUGAUUAUGAACAUGAAUAUGAUUUGUGAGUAGUUACGUUUGUUCCUGAGGACAAGUCUUGCUAUAAGUAGUCAUGUGAAUUUGGUAUUCGUUCGAUGUUUUGAUGAGAUAUAUGUUGUCUUUCCUCUAGUGGUGUUAUGUGAACGUCGACCACAUGACACUUCACCAUUGUUUGGGCCUAGAGGAAGGCAUUGGGAAGUAAUAAGUAGAUGAUGGGUUGCUAGAGUGACAGAAGCUUAAACCCUAGUUUAUGAGUUGCUUCGUAAGGGGCUGAUUUGGAUCCAUAGGUUUCAUGCUAUGGUUAUGUUUACCUUAAUACUUCUCUUGUAGUUGCGGAUGCUUGCAAUAGGGGUUAAUCAUAAGUGGGAUGCUUGUCCAAGAAAGGGCAGUACCCAAGCACCGGUCCACCCACAUACCAAAUUAUCAAAGUAACGAACGUGAAUCAUAUGAGCGUGAUGAAAACUAGCUUGACGAUAAUUCCCAUGUGUCCUCGGGAGCGCUUUUCUCUAUAUAAGAGUUUGUCCAGGCUUGUCCUUUGCUACAAAAAGGAUUGGGCCAUCUUGCUGCACCUUAUUUACUUUCAUUACUUGUUACUCAUUACAAAUUACCUUAUCACAAAACUAUCUGUUACCGAUAAUUUCAGUACUUACAGAGAAUACCUUACUGAAAACCGCUUGUCAUUUCCUCCAGCUCCUCGUUGGGUUCGACACUGUUACUUAUCAAAAGGACUACGAUAGAUCCCCUAUACUUGUGGGUCAUCAAGACACUUUUCUGGCACCGUUGCCGGGGAGUGAAGUGCCUUUGGUAGGUGGAAUUUGGUAAGGAAAAAUUUAUAUAGUGUGCUGAAAUUUACUGUCACUUGUUACUAUGGAACAUAAUCCUUUGAGGGGCUUGUUCGGGGUAUCUUCACCCCGACCAGUAGAGCAAAGAGUUGCUCCUCAACCUACUGAACCUACUGAAAAUGUUUACUUUGAAAUUCUUUCGGGUAUGAUAGAGAAACUGCUAGCUAAUCCUUUUACAGGAGAUGGAACAUUACAUCCCGAUUUGCACCUAAUCUAUGUGGAUGAAGUUUGUGGAUUAUUUAAGCUUGCAGGUAUGCCCGAGGAUGUUAUCAAGAAGAAGGUCUUCCCUUUAUAUUUGAAGGUAAAGGCAUUGACAUGGUUUAGGCUAUGUGAUGAUAUGGAAUCAUGGAACUACAACCGAUUGAAAUUGGAAUUUCAUCAGAAGUUUUAUCCUAUGCAUCUUGUUCAUCGUGAUCGUAAUUAUAUAUAUAAUUUUUGGACUCGUGAAGGAGAAAGCAUCGCUCAAGCUUGGGGGAGGCUUAAGUCAAUGUUAUAUUCGUGCCUCAAUCAUGAGCUCUCAAGAGAAAUUAUUAUUCAAAAUUUUUAUGCUCGGCUUUCUCUCAAUAAUCGCUCCAUGCUCGAUACUUCUUGUACUGGUUCUUUUAUGAUGAAGACUAUUGAAUUCAAAUGGGAUUUAUUGGAAAGAAUUAAAUGCAUAGAUUGGGACCUCGAUGAAGGUAAGGAGUCAAGUAUAACACCUAAGUUUGAUUGUGUUAAAUCUUUUAUGGAUACUGAUGUUUUCCGUGAAUUUAGCACUAAAUAUGGACUUGACUCUGAGAUAGUAGCUUCUUUCUGUGAAUCCUUUGCUACUCAUGUUGAUCUCCCUAAGGAGAAGUGGUUUAAAUAUAAUCCUCCCAUUGAAGUAAAAGUAGUUGCACCUAUUAAAGUUGAAGAAAAGACUAUCACUUAUAAUGUUGAUCCUAUUGUUCCUACUGCUUAUAUUGAGAAACCACCUUUUCCUGUUAGAAUAAAGGAUCAUGCUAAAGCUUCAACUGUGGUUCGUAAGAGUAAUACUAGAACACCUACACCCCCUGAGCAAAUUAAAGUUGAACCUAGUGUUGCUAUGGUUAAAGAUCUCUUGGCCGAUAUUAUUGAUGGGCAUGUUAUUUACUUCUGUAAUGAAGCUGCUAGAAUUGCUAGACUGAUACUAAGGGUAAACAUAGACCUGUUGUUGGCAUGCCUGAUGUUUCUGUUAAAAUAGGAGAUCAUUGCUAUCAUGACUUAUGUGAUAUGGGUGCUAGUGCAAGUGCAAUACCUCAUUCCUUAUACAAAGAAAUUAUGCAUGAUAUUGCACCCGCUGAGAUAGAAGAGAUUGAUGUUACAAUUAAGCUUGCCAAUAGAGAUACUAUUUCACCAGUUGGGAUUGUUAGAGAUGUUGAAGUCUUGUGUGGGAAAGUUAAAUAUCCUACUGAUUUUAUUGUUCUUGGCUCCCCACAAGAUGACUUUUGUCCCAUUAUAUUUGGUAGGCCCUUCUUGAAUACUGUUAAUGCUAAGAUAGAUUGCGAAAAUGAUAUUGUUACUGUUGGUUUGGGGGAUAUGUCUCAUGAGUUUAAUUUUGCUAAAUUUCGUAGACAACCCCAUGAUAAAGAACUGCCUAGUAAAGAUGAAAUUAUUGGUCUUGCUUCUAUUGCGGUGCCUCCUAAUGAUCCUUUAGAACAAUAUUUGCUCGACCAUGAAAAUGAUAUGUUUAUGAAUGAAAGAAGGGAAAUAGAUGAAGUAUUCUUUAAACAGGGACCUAUUUUGAAACACAACUUGCCUGUUGAAAUCCUAGGGGAUCCUCCUCCACCCAAGGGUGACCCUGUGUUUGAGCUUAAACCAUUACCUGAUACUCUUAAAUAUGCUUACCUUGAUGAGAAGAAGAUAUAUCAUGUUAUUAUUAGUGCUAACCUUUUAGAGCAUGAAGAAAAGAAAUUAUUGAAAACUCUAAAGAAACACCGUGUUGCUAUUGGAUAUACUCUUGAUGAUCUUAAGGACAUUAGUCCCACUUUAUGCCAGCACAAAAUAAAAUUGGAGAAAGAAGCUAAACCAGUUGUUGAUCACCAACGACGGUUAAAUCCUAAGAUGAAAGAAGUGGUAAGAAAAGAAACACUAAAGAUUCUGGACGCAGGUAUAAUUUAUCCGUUGCUGAUAGUCAGUGGGUAAGUCCUAUCCAUUGUUUCCCUAAGAAGGGAGGGAGGGAUUACUGUUGUUCGUAAUGACAAAGAUGAAUUGAUCCCACAAAGAAUUAUUACAGGUUAUAGAAUGGUAAUUGAUUUCCACAAAUUAAAUAAAGCUACUAAAAAAGAUCAUUACCCUUUACCUUUUAUUGAUCAAAUGCUAGAAAGAUUAUCCAAACAUACACAUUUUUGGUAUCUAGAUGGUUAUUCUGGUUUCUCUCAAAUACCUAUGUUAAAAGAGGAUCAAGAAAAGACCACUUUUACUUGCCCUUUCGGUACCUUUGCUUAUAGACGUAUGCCUUUUGGUUUAUGUAAUGCACCUGCUACCUUUCAAAGAUGCAUGAUGGCUAUAUUCUCUGAUUUUUGUGAAAAUAUUGUUGAGGUUUUCAUGGAUGAUUUCUCCGUAUAUGGAACUUAUUUUGAUGAUUGCUUGAGCAACCUUGAUCGAGUUUUGCAGAGAUGUGAAGAAACUAACCUUGUCUUGAAUUGGGAGAAGUGCCACUUUAUGGUUAAUGAAGGUAUUGUCUUGGGGCAUAAAAUUUCUGAAAGAGGUAUUGAAGUUGAUAAUGCUAAAGUUGAUGCUAUUGAAAAGAUGCCGUGUCCCAAGGACAUUAAAGGUAUAAGAAGUUUCCUUGGUCAUGCCGGUUUUUAUAGGAGGUUCAUUAAGGACUUCUCUAAAAUCUCCAGGCCUCUCACUAAUCUCUUACAAAAAAUAUUCCUUUUGUCUUCGAUGAUGAUUGUGUAGAAGCAUUUGAAAUACUUAAGAAAGCUUUGAUUUCUGCACCUAUUGUUCAGCCACCUGAUUGGAAUUUACCCUUUGAAAUUACGUGUGAUGCCAGUGAUUAUGCUGUAGGUGCUAUUCUAGGACAAAGAGUUGAUAAGAAAUUAAAUGUUAUCCAAUAUGCUAGUAAAACUCUAGACAGUGCCCAGAGAAAUUAUGCUACUACUGAAAAAGAAUUUUUAGCAGUUGUGUUUGCUUGUGAUAAGUUCAGACCUUAUAUUGUUGAUUCUAAAGUAACUGUUCACACUGAUCAUGCUGCAAUUAAAUAUCUUAUGGAAAAGAAAGAUGGUAAACCUAGACUUAUUAGAUGGGUUCUCUUGCUACAAGAAUUUGAUUUCCAUAUUAUUGAUAGAAAGGGAGCUGAGAACCCCGUUGCGGACAACUUGUCUUGGUUAGAGAAUGUUCUUGAUGACCCACUACCUAUUGAUGAUAGCUUUCCUGAUGAACAAUUGGCUGUCAUAAAUGCUUCUCGUGCUGCUCCAUGGUAUGCUGAUUAUGCUAAUUACAUUGUUGCUAAAUUUAUACCACCUAGUUUCACAUACCAGCAAAAGAAAAAGUUUUUCUAUGAUUUAAGACAUUACUUCUGGGAUGACCCACACCUUUAUAAAGGAGUAGAUGGCGUUAUUAGACGUUGUGUGCCUGAGCAUGAACAGGAACAGAUCCUACGCAAGUGUCACUCCGAAGCUUAUGGGUGACACCACGCUAGAUAUUGAACUGCGCAUAAGGUAUUGCAAUCCGGUUUUUAUUGGCCUACUCUCUUCAAAGAUGCCCGUAAGUUUGUCUUGUCUCGUGAUGAAUGUCAAAGAAUUGGUAAUAUUAGUAGACGUCAAGAAAUGCCUAUGAAUUAUUCACUUGUUAUUGAACCAUUUGAUGUUUGGGGCUUUGAUUAUAUGGGACCGUUUCCUUCCUCUAACGGGUAUACACAUAUUUUAGUUGCUGUUGAUUACAUUACUAAGUGUGUAGAAGCUAUUCCAACUAGUAGUGCUGAUCAUAACACCUCUAUUAAGAUGCUUAAAGAAGUUAUUUUUCUGAGGUUUGGAGUCCCUAGAUAUUUAAUGACUGAUGGUGGUUCACACUUUAUUCAUGGUGCUUUUCGUAAAAUGCUUGCUAAGUAUGAUGUUAAUCAUAGAAUUGCAUCCCCAUAUCACCCACAGUCUAGCGGUCAAGUAGAAUUGAGUAAUAGAGAGCUCAAAUUAAUUUUGCAAAAAGACUGUUAAUAGAUCUAGAAAGAAUUGGUCCUAGAAACUUGAUGAUGCAUUAUGGGCCUAUAGAACUGCAUAUAAAAAUCCUAUGGGUAUGUCUCCGUAUAAAAUGGUUUAUGGGAAAGCAUGUCACUUACCUCUCGAACUAGAACAUAAGGCAUAUUGGUCCAUUAAAGAGCUCAAUUAUGAUUUCAAACUUGCCGGUGAGAAGAGGUUAUUUGACAUUAGCUCACUUGAUGAAUGGAGAACCCAAGCUUAUGAGAAUGCCAAACUGUUUAAAGAAAAAGUUAAAAGAUGGCAUGACAAAAGGAUACAAAAGUGUGAGUUUAAUGUAGGUGAUUAUGUGUUUCUAUUCAACUCUCGUUUAAGAUUUUUUGCAGGAAAACUUCUCUCUAAAUCGGAAGGUCCUUACGUUAUCGACGAGGUCUAUCAUUCCAGUGCCAUAAAAAUCAACAACUUCGAAGGCACAAAUCCAAAUGUGGUGAACGGUCAAAGAAUCAAACAUUAUAUCUCAGGUAAUCCUAUAAAUGUUGAAACUAAUGUUAUUGAAACCGUAACCCCAGAGGAAUACAUAAGGGACACUUUCCAGAACGUUUCAGACUCCGAAAAGGAAUAGGUACGUGGUACGGUAAGUAAACCGACUCUAAAACAGUUGUAAUGGUAAUUUUUCUCCGUUUUGUAAUAUUCAAGAAAAUAGGAAAAUAAGAAGUAGUCCGAAGAGGACACGAGGCAUCCACGAGGGUGGAGGGCGCGCCCUACCCCCCUGGGCGCGCCCCCCUGCCUUGUGGGCACCUCGUGUGCCCUCCGGACUCCGUUUUCUUGCACGAUACUUCUUUUGGUAGGUAAAAAUUCAUUAUAUAAUCUCCCGAAGGUUUUAACCACCGUAUCACACAAAUAUCCUCUGUUUUUGUUUCGAGCUGUUUUCUGCCAGAGUUGUCAAGGCCAGGCAUCAUGUCGUCCCCCUCCUCCAACAACGAGGGCAACGAUGCUUGGCUAAUGAAGAUAGAGCUGAAGAGAGAAGAACCCGGGGAGAUCACCAAGGAUGAUGGGAUCAAGAAGGCCAUGGAGGACCAAGCUCCGGCAGCAGAAGACGAAGACAUCCUCCCACCUCAUCACAAUCUUCUUACCCCAACGGAGAUUGAAGCUUUCAAGAUAAUUGAGUUAGCUCGCAUACAAAAUAAGUAUCUCACACGUGAAAAUAUUUUGUUGAAGGAGCAUAUCACUGCACUCAAGGGCAUUAUCCGCAAAUUGGAGGACCUCCUGCGCUCGAUGUGUGACUAUCCAUCAUCACCACCAUCUUCUUCAUCAACAAAGGAGAACUGAGUAUCGGGUAUGGGCACUCCCCUUGGCAACUGCCAAGCUUGGGGGAGGUGCCCCAGGUAUCGUAUCACCAUCACACUCCUAUCUUUACCUUUUUCUUAGUUCGAUCCUUUUGGUAAUAUCUUGAUUUAGUAGAAUAAAGUAUUAGUAUGAUUUAGUUUUGAGUUUUGCUUUAUGAUCCUUCUAUGUAAUCGAGUCCGUGAGCUAUAUAUAAUAAAGAUUAGUGUUGAGUCAAGGGCUUGAUUAUCUUGCUAUGAUCUUGAGGGAAUAAAAAUAAAAGAAAAGAGAAAGAAUAAAAAGAAGUAAAGAGAUCAUAUUGAUCUUAUGGAGAGUAAUGACUUACAUAUAAAGAGUAUGAUGAAUAAAAAUUGUUGAGAGUUGACAAACAUAGUUUUGGUCAUCGUUGCAAUUAAUAGGAAGUAAUAAAGAAAGAGAGGUUUUCACAUAUAAAUAUACUAUCUUGGUUCUUGGACAUCUUUUAUGAUUGUGAGCACUCAUUAAAAUAUGACAUGCUAAAGAGUUGAUGUUGGACAAGGAAGACAACGUAAUGGGUUAUGUUUUCUUAUAUCCGAAAUAAAGUAUAUUGUCAUGGAUCAUCCAACAUGUUGAGCUUGCCUUUCCGUCUCAUGCUAGCAAAAUUCUUUGCACGAAGUAGAGAUACCACUUGUGCUUCCGAAUAUCCUUAAACCCAGUUCUGCCAUGAGAGUCCACCAUACCUACCUAUGGAUUGAGUAAGAUCCUUCAAGUAAGUUGUCAUGUUGCAUGCAAUAAAAAUUUCUCUCUAAAUAUGUAUGAUUUAUUAGUAUGGAGAAAAUAACCUUUAUACGAUCUUGUGAUAUGGAAGCAAUAAAAGCGACGGACUGCAUAAUAAAGGUCCAUAUCACAAGCGGCAAUAUAAAGUGACGUUCUUUUGCAUUAAGAUUUCGUGCAUCCAACCAUAAAAGCACAUGGCAACCUCUGCUUCCCUCUGCGAAGGGCCUAUCUUUUAUUCUUGUCUUAUACCUUAUGCAAGAGUUAUGGUGAUCUUUACCUUUCCUUUUUACACUUUAUCCUUUGGCAAGCACAUUGUGUUGGAAAGAUCCUGAUAUAUAUAUCCAAUUGGAUGUACGUUGGCAUGAAUUAUUAUUGUUGACAUUACCCUUGAGGCAAAAGGUUUGGAGGCAACACUAUAAGCCCCUAUCUUUCUCUGUGUCCGAUUAAAACUCCAUACCCAUAAGUAUUGUGUGAGUGUUAGCAAUUAUGAAAUACUAAAUGAUAGUUGAGUGUGCGGACUUGCUGAAAAGCUCUUAUAUUGACUCUUUCCGAUGUUAUGAUAAAUUGCAAUUGCUUCAAUAUCCGAGAUCAUAGUUUGUUAGUUCUCAAUGAAGUUUCUGAUUCAUACUUGACAUUGUGAAUAGAUUGUUACUUGAGCAUAAGAAAUCAUAUGACAAUAUCUAUAUGUUGUUGUUAUAAGAAUGAUCAUGAUGCCCUCAUGUCCGUAUUUUAUUUUAUCGACACCUCUACCUAUAAACAUGUGGACAUAUUUAUCGUUAUCGGCUUCCGCUUGAGGACAAGCGAGGUCUAAACUUGGGGGAGUUGAUACGUACAUUUUGCAUCAUGCUUUUAUAUCGAUAUUUAUUGCAUUAUGGGCUGUUAUUACACGCUAUAUCACAAUACUUAUGCCUAUUCUCUCUUAUUUUACAAGGUUUACAUGAAGAGGGAGAAUGCCGGCAGCUGGAAUUCUGGGCUGGAAAAGGAGCAAAUAUUAGAGACCUAUUCUGCACAAUUCCAAAAGUCCUAAAACUCCACGGAAGUUAUUUUUGGAAUUAAUAAAAAAUACUGAGCGAAGAAAGUACCAGAGGGGGGCCACCCACCAUCCACAAGGGUGGGGGGCACGCCCUACACCCCUGGGCGCGCCCCCUACCUCGUGGGCCCCCUGGCAGGCCUCCGGUGCCCAUCUUCUGCUAUAUGAAGUAUUUUAACCUGGAAAAAAUCAUAAGCAAGCUUUCGGGACAAAACACCGCCGCCACGAGGCGGAACCUUGGCGGAACCAAUCUAGGGCUCCGGCGGAGCUAUUCUGCCGGGGAAACAUCCCUCCGGGAGGCGGAAAUCAUCGCCAUCGUCAUCACCAACGAUCCUCUCAUCGGGAGGGGGUCAAUCUCCAUCAACAUCUUCACUAGCACCAUCUCAUCUCAAACCUUAGUUCAUCUCAUGUAUCCAAUCUUUGUCCCAAAGCCUCAGAUUGGUACCUGUGGGUUGCUAGUAGUGUUGAUUACUCCUUGUAGUUGAUGCUAGUUGGUUUAUUUGGUGGAAGAUCAUAUGUUCAGAUCCUUUAUGCACAUUAAUACCCCUCUGAUUAUGAACAUGAAUAUGAUUUGUGAUUAGUUACGUUUGUUCCUGAGGACAAAGCUUGCUAUAAGUAGUCAUGUGAAUUUGGUAUUCGUUCGAUAUUUUGAUGAGAUAUAUGUUGUCUUUCCUCUAGUGGUGUUAUGUGAACGUCGACCACAUGACACUUCACCAUUGUUUGGGCCUAGAGGAAGGCAUUGGGAAGUAAUAAGUAGAUGAUGGGUUGCUAGAGUGACAGAAGCUUAAACCCUAGUUUAUGAGUUGCUUCGUAAGGGGCUGAUUUGGAUCCAUAGGUUUCAUGCUAUGGUUAGGUUUACCUUAAUACUUCUCUUGUAGUUGCGGAUGCUUGCAAUAGGGGUUAAUAAUAAGUGGGAUGCUUGUCCAAGAAAGGGCAGUACCCAAGCACCGGUCCACCCACAUACCAAAUUAUCAAAGUAACGAACGCGAAUCAUAUGAGCGUGAUGAAAACUAGCUUGACGAUAAUUCCCAUGUGUCCUCGGGAGCGCUUUUCUCUAUAUAAGAGUUUGUCCAGGCUUGUCCUUUGCUACAAAAAGGAUUGGGCCAUCUUGCUGCACCUUAUUUACUUUCAUUACUUGUUACUCGUUACAAAUUACCUUAUCACAAAACUAUCUGUUACCGAUAAUUUCAACACUUGCAGAGAAUACCUUACUGAAAACCGCUUGUCAUUUCCUUCUGCUCCUCGUUGGGUUCGACACUCUUACUUGUCGAAAGGACUAUAAUAGAUCCCCUAUACUUGUGGGUCAUCAGGUCUCCGCAUGACCACUAUCUCAACAAGUAGCUACAAGUUGCUCCUUGAGCUGUUUGCUAGAGGAAGAAGAAGGGAAAGGCUAGCUCUCUCCUCUCUCUAUGUGUGUGGUUGUGUAGUCUAAGGGUCUGAACCCUUUGCGUGGGUGCCCUGGGGGGUUUAUAUGGGCCUACCCCCAGGGGUACAAUGGUAAACUGGCCGGGUGUAGGCCCAUGCCGUUACUGUCUCUCGUGGCCGACUUCUCAACUGGCUGCUGGGGCCCGCCGACUGGGGGGCCCCGCCGGCUCUCUUGUACUUGGCCGACAGGCCGCGCCCGCCGCUUGCGGGUCUUGCUGGCUUCUCAUCACUGUAGCCGUGCUUCUAAUGAUGCUUGCUUUGUCGGGGGAGGCGUGGUGCUGGCCUCCCCCUUGGCCGACUGGCUGAGGCUAGCCGCCUUCCGGUUCCUCACGGGAAGGUAGGGCCCGUCGCCUGCAGGCCGUACCGACAGCCCGUCGUGGGCGCAUGGUCCCUUCUGACAGGGAUGAUGUCACGGGCGGAGGGGCCACAGUGACGCGCCGUGCAGGAGAUCUCCGGCUGGUACGGCGCACUGUGGCCACGACCCGCCCUGGAUUAGAGGGUGGCAGGCUUCGCUGUAGCCACGCCCCAUCCCAUGAUGCUUAAGAGGGUGCAGGUUUUGAGGGCACCUGGGGCCGCCUGCUAGGAGACGACCUCUCUGGAGGCCAUCAUCUAGGACGCGGCCCGCUUCGUGGUCGUUUUCUGGGGUCCGCCGCCUUCCGGCAGCCGGCCGCUUGGACUAGCCGGCUUCGAGAAGGUGGAGACCAAGCUUUGAGGUUUGAGGGGCGCAGUCGGCCCCGAUGUCUUGAAAUGCCAUGGGGGGGGGGUGAUGAGGCUACCCAUGGCCAAUAACUCCGACAAGAUAUAUAGAGAUAGAUCAAGACGCUUGAUAAGUUUUUUCAAUGAGUACAUACCUUGACAAGUUUUUGAUGUAGUUCAAAAUAGAACAGUCAAAGAAAGAGUUCUUUCCUGUGUUGCAAGGUGUGAAGUUGAGUAAGACUCAAAGCCCGACCACGACAGAAGAUAGAGAGAGAAUGAAAGUCAUUCCCUAUGCCUCAGCCAUAGAUUCUAUAAAGUAUGACAUGUUGUGUACCAGUCCUAUUGUAUACCCUGCCCUGAGUUUGGCAAGGGAGUACAAUUUUGAUCUAGGAGUAGAUCAUUGGACAGCGGUCAAAAUUAUCCUUAGAGGAGUAAGGAAAUAUUUCUCGGUUAGGUGAUAAAGAGUUCGUCGUAAAGAGUUACGUCGAUGCAAGCUUUGACACCGGAUACAUAUUGAAAGUGGGAGCAAUUAGCUAAAGUAGCUCCGUGGAGAGCAUUGUAGACAUAGAAAUUUGCAAAAUACAUACGGAUCUAAAUUUGGCAGACCCGUUGACUAAACUUCUCUCACAAACAAAACAUAAUCACACCUUAGUACUCUUUGGGUGUUAAUCACAUGGCGAUGUGAACUAGAUUACUGACUCUAGUAAACACUUUGAGUGUUGGUCACAUGGCGAUGUGAACUAUGGGUGUUAAUCACAUGGUGAUAUGAACUAUUGGUGUUAAAUCACAUAGCCACGUGAACUAGAUUAUUGACUGUAGUGCAAGUGGGAGACUGAAGGAAGUAUGCCCUAGAGGCAAUAAUAAAGUUAUUAUUUAUUUCAUGAUAAAUGUUUAUUAUUCAUGCUAGAAUUGUAUUAACUGGAAACUUAGUACAUGUGUGAAUACAUAGACAAACAGAGUGUCCCUAGUAUGCCUCUACUUGACUAGCUCGUUAAUCAAAGAUGGUUAAGUUUCCUAGCCAUAGACAUGUGUUGUCAUUUGAUGAACGGGAUCACAUCAUUAGAGAAUGAUGUGAUUGACUUGACCCAUUCCGUUAGCUUAGCAUUAUGAUCAUUUCAGUUUCAUUGCUACUGCUUUCUUCAUGACUUAUACAUGUUCCUCUGACUAUGAGAUUAUGCAACUCCCGAAUACCGGAGGAACACCUUGUGUGCUAUCAAACGUCACAAUGUAACUGGGUGAUUAUAAAGAUGCUCUACAGGUGUCUCCGAAGGUGUUUGUUGGGUUGGCAUAGAUCGAGAUUAGGAUUUGUCACUCCGCGUAUCGGAGAGGUAUCUCUGGGCCCUCUAGGUAAUGCACAUCACUAUAAGCCUUGCAAGCAAUGUGACUAAUGAGUUAGUUGCGGGAUGAUGCAUUAUGGAACGAGUAAAGAGACUUGCCGGUAACGAGAUUGAACUAGGUAUGAUGAUACUGAAGGAAAUAUUCCUUAGAGGCAAUAAUAAAGUUAUUAUUUAUUUCCUAAUAUCAUGAUAAAUGUUUAUUAUUCAUGCUAGAAUUGUAUUAACCGGAAACAUAAUACUUGUGUGAAUACAUAGACAAACAGAGUGUCACUAGUAUGCCUCUACUUGACUAGCUCGUUGAUCAAAGAUGGUUAUGUUUCCUAGCCAUUGACAUGAGUUGUCAUUUGAUUAACGGGAUCACAUCAUUAGAAGAAUGAUGUGAUUGACUUGACCCAUUCCGUUAGCUUAGCACUCGAUCGUUUAGUAUAUUGCUAUUGCUUUCUUCAUGACUUAUACAUGUUCCUAUGACUAUGAGAUUAUGCAACUCCCGUUUACCGGAGGAACACUUUGUGUGCUACCAAACGUCACAACGUAACUGGGUGAUUAUAAAGCUGCUCUACAGGUGUCUCCGAAGGUACUUGUUGGGUUGGCGUAUUUCGAGAUUAGGAUUUGUCACUCCGAUUGUCGGAGAGGUGUCUCUGGGCCCACUCGGUAAUGGACAUCACUUAAGCCUUGCAAGCAUUCCAACCAAUGAGUUAGUUGUGGGAUGAUGUAUUACGGAAUGAGUAAAGAGACUUGCUGGUAACGAGAUUGAACUACGUAUUGAGAUACCGACGAUCGAAUCUCGGGCAAGUAACAUACCGAUGACAAAGGGAACAACGUAUGUUGUUAUGCGGUUUGACCGAUAAAGAUCUUCAUAGAAUAUGUGGGAGCCAAUAUGAGCAUCCAGGUUCCGCUAUUCGUUAUUGACUGGAGACGUGUCUCGGUCAUGUCUACAUAGUUCUCGAACCCGUAGGGUCCGCACGCUUAAAGUUUCGAUGACGGUUAUAUUAUGAGUUUAUGAGUUUUGAUGUACCGAAGGUUGUUCGGAGUCCCGGAUGUGAUCACGGACAUGACGAGGAGUCUCAAAAUGGUCGAGACAUGAAGAUUGAUAUAUUGGAAGCCUAUAUUUGGAUAUCGAAAGUGUUCCGGGUGAAAUCGGGAUUUUACCGGAGUACCGGAGGGGUUACCAGAACCCCCCGGGGGUUUAAUGGGCCAUAGUGGGCCUUAGUGGAGAAGAGGAGGGGUGGCCAGGGCAGGCCGCGCCCCCCCUCCCCCUCUAGUCCGAAUUGGACAAGGAGGGGGGCGGCGCCCCCCUUUUUCCUUCUUCUCCUCGUCCUCCUUCCGCCCUUCUCCUAAUCUAACAAGGAAGGGAGGGAGUCCUACUCCCGAUGGGAGUAGGACUCCUCCUGGCGCGCCUUCUCCUGGCCGGCCGCAUCUCCCCCCCUUGCUCCUUUAUAUACGGGGGCACCCUAGAGACACAACAAUUGAUCAGUUGAUCUUUUAGCCGUGUGCGGUCCCCCCUCCACCAUAGUCCACCUCGAUAAUACUGUAGCGGUGCUGAGGCGAAGCCCUGUGUCGGUAGAACAUCAUCAUCGUCACCACCCCGUCGUGCUGACGAAACUCUCCCUCAACACUCGGCUGGAUCAGAGUUCGAGGGACGUCAUCGAGCUGAACGUGUGCUGAACUCGGAGGUGCCGUACGUUCGGUACUUGGAUCGGUCGGAUCGUGAAGACGUACGACUACAUCAACCGCGUUGUGCUAACGCUUCCGCUUUCGGUCUACGAGGGUACAUGGACAGCACUCUCCCCUCUCGUUGCUAUGCAUCACCAUGAUUUUGCGUGUGCGUAGGAAUUUUUUUGAAAUUACUACGUUCCCAUACAGUGGCAUCCGAGCCAGGUUUUAUGCGUAGAUGUCAUAUGCACGAGUAGAACACAAGUGAGUUGUGGGCGAUAUAAGUCAUACUGCUUACCAGCAUGUCAUACUUUGGUUCGGCGGUACUGUUGGAUGAAGCGGCCCGGACCGACAUUACGCGUACACUUACGCAAGACUGGUUCUACGUGUUGGGGAACGUAGUAAUUUCAAAAAAUUUCCUACGCACACGCAAGAUCAUGGUGAUGCAUAGCAACAAGAGGGGAGAGUGUUGUCCACGUACCCUCGUAGACCGACAGCGGAAGCGUUAUCACAACGCGGUUGAUGUAGUCGAACGUCUUCACGAUCCGACCGAUCAAGUACCGAACGCACGGCACCUCCGAAGUUCUACACACGUUCAGCUCGAUGACGUCCCUCGAACUCCGAUCCAGCCGAGUGUUGAGGGAGAGUUUCGUCAGCACGACGGCGUGGUGACGAUGAUGAUGUUCCACCGACGCAGGGCUUCACCUAAGCUUCGCGACGGUAUUAUCGAGGUGUAAUCUGGUGGAGGGGGGCACCGCACACGGCUAAAAUAUCGUAUAUCAAGUGUGUUCUUAGGUGCCCCCCUGCCGCCGUAUAUAAAGGAGCAAGGGGGAGGCCGGCUGCCUAUGGGGCGCGCCAAGGAGAGGGGGGGAGUCCUCCUCCUAGUAGGAGUAGGACUCCCCUUUCCAAGUCCUACUAGGAAAAGAAGGGGGAAGGAAAGAGAGGGAGAGGGAGAGGGAAAGGGGGCUGCGCCCCCCUCUCCUAGUCCAACUAGGACUCCUCUGGGAGGAGGCGCACCACCUCCUGGCUGCUGCCCUCUCUCUCCCCUCAAGGCCCACUAAGGCCCAAUACUUCCCCGGGGGGUUCCGGUAACCCUCCGGCACUCCGGUUUAAUCCGAAACUUCUCCGGAACACUUCCGGUGUCCGAAUAUAGUCGUCCCAUCAAUCUUUACGUCUCGACCAUUUCGAGACUCCUCGUCAUGUCCGUGAUCACAUCCGGGACUCCGAACAACCUUCGGUACAUCAAAUCAUAUAAACUCAUAAUAAAACUGUCAUCGUAACUUUAAGCGUGCGGACCCUUUGGGUUCGAGAACUAUGUAGACAUGACCGAGACACCUCUCCGGUCAAUAACCAAUAGCGGGACCUGGAUGCCCAUAUUGGCUCCUACAUAUUCUACGAAGAUCUUUAUCGGUCAGACCGCAUAACAACAUACAUUGUUCCCUUUGUCAUCGGUAUGUUACUUGCCCGAGAUUCGAUCGUCGGUAUCUCGAUACCUAGUUCAAUCUCGUUACCGGCAAGUCUCUUUACUCGUUCCGUAAUACAUCAUCCCGUAACUAACUCAUUAGUCACAAUGCUUGCAAGGCUUAUAGUGAUGUGCAUUACCGAGUGGGCCCUGAGAUACCUCUCCGACAAUCGGAGUGACAAAUCCUAAUCUCGAAAUACGCCAACCCAACAAGUACCUUUGGAGACACCUGUAGAGCACCUUUAUAAUCACCCAGUUACGUUGUGACGUUUGGUAGCACACAAAGUGUUCCUCCGGUAAACGGGAGUUGCAUAAUCUCAUAGUCAUAGGAACAUGUAUAAGUCAUGAAGAAAGCAAUAGCAACAUACUAAACGAUCGGGUGCUAAGCUAAUGUAAUGGGUCAUGUCAAUCACGUCAUUCUCCUAAUGAGGUGAUCCCGUUAAUCAAAUGACAACUCAUGUCUAUGGCUAGGAAACAUAACCAUCUUUGAUUAACGAACUAGUCAAGUAGAGGCAUACUAGGGACACUUUGUUUGUCUAUGUAUUCACACAUGUAUUAUGUUUCCGGUUAAUACAAUUCUAGCAUGAAUAAUAAACAUUUAUCAUGAUAUAAGGAAAUAUAAAAUACUUUAUUAUUUCCUCUAGGGCAUAUUUCCUUCAGUCUCCCACUUGCACUAGAGUCAAUAAUCUAGAUUACAUAGUAAUGAUUCUUACACCCAUGGAGUCUUGGUGCUGAUCAUGUUUUGCUCGUGGAAGAGGCUUAGUCAACGGAUCUACUACAUUCAGAUCCGUAUGUAUCUUGCAAAUUUCUAUGUCUCCCACCUGGACUAAAUCCCGGAUGGAAUUGAAGCGUCUUCUGAUGUGCUUGGUUCUCUUGUGAAAUCUGGAUUCCUUUGCUAAGGCAAUUGCACCAGUAUUAUCACAAAAGAUUUUCAUUGGUCCCGAUGUACUAGGUAUGACACCUAGAUCGGUUAUGAACUCCUUCAUCCAGACUCUUUCAUUCGCUGCUUCCGAAGCAGCUAUGUAUUCCGCUUCACACGUAGAUCCCGCCACGACACUUUGCUUGGAACUGCACCAACUGACAGCUCCACCGUUCAAUGUAAAUACGUAUCCGGUUUGCGAUUUCGAAUCGUCCGGAUCAGUGUCAAAGCUUGCAUCAACGUAACCAUUUAUGAUGAGCUCUUUGUCACCUCCAUAUACGAGAAACAUAUCCUUAGUCCUUUUCAGGUAUUUCAGGAUGUUCUUGACCGCUGUCCAGUGAUCCACUCCUGGAUUACUUUGGUACCUCCCUGCUAAACUUAUAGCCAGGGACACAUCAGGUCUGGUACACAGCAUUGCAUACAUGAUAGAGCCUAUGGCUGAAGCAUAGGGAACAUCUUUCAUCUUCUCUCUAUCUUCUGCAGUGGUCGGGCAUUGAGUCUUACUCAAUCUCACACCUUGUAGUACAGGCAAGAACCCUUUCUUUGCUUGAUCCAUUUUGAACUUCUUCAAAACUUUGUCAAGGUAUGUGCUUUGUGAAAGUCCAAUUAAGCGCCUUGAUCUAUCUCUAUAGAUCUUAAUGCCUAAUAUAUAUGCAGCUUCACCGAGGUCUUUCAUUGAAAAACUCUUAUUUAAGUAUCCCUUUAUGCUAUCCAGAAAUUCAAUAUCAUUUCCAAUCAGUAAUAUGUCAUCCACAUAUAAUAUCAGAAAUGCUAUCGAGCUCCCACUCACUUUCUUGUAAAUACAGGCUUCUCCAAAAGUCUGUAUAAAACCAAAUGCUUUGAUCACACUAUCAAAGCGUUUAUUCCAACUCCGAGAGGCUUGCACCAGUCCAUAAAUGGAUCGCUGGAGCUUGCACACUUUGUUAGCUCCCUUUGGAUCGACAAAACCUUCCGGUUGUAUCAUAUACAACUCUUCUUCCAGAAAUCCAUUCAGGAACGCAGUUUUGACAUCCAUUUGCCAAAUUUCAUAAUCAUAAAAUGCGGCAAUUGCUAACAUGAUUCGGACAGACUUAAGCAUCGCUACGGGUGAGAAGGUCUCAUCGUAGUCAAUUCCUUGAACUUGUCGAAAACCUUUCGCAACAAGUCGAGCUUUAUAGAUAGUAACAUUACCAUCAGCGUCAGUCUUCUUCUUGAAGAUCCAUUUAUUUUCAAUGGCUUGCCGACCAUCGGGCAAGUCAACCAAAGUCCAUACUUUGUUCUCAUACAUGGAUCCCAUCUCGGAUUUCAUGGCUUCAAGCCAUUUUUCGGAAUCUGGGCUCACCAUUGCUUCUUCAUAGUUCGUAGGUUCGCCAUGGUCUAGUAACAUGACCUUCAGAACAGGAUUACCGUACCACUCUGGUGCGGAUCUUGAUCUAGUUGACCUACGAAGUUCAGUAAUAACUUGAUCUGAAGUUUCAUGAUCAUUAUCAUUAACUUCCUCACUACUUGGUGUAGGUGUCGCAGAAACUGAUCUCUGCGAUGAUCUACUUUCCAAUAAGGGAGCAGGUAUAGUUACCUCAUCAAGUUCUACUUUCCUCCCACUCACAUCUUUCGAGAGAAACUCCUUCUCCAGAAAGGAUCCAUUUCUAGCAACAAAUAUCUUGCCUUCGGAUCUGUGAUAGAAGGUGUACCCAACGGUCUCCUUUGGGUAUCCUAUGAAGACACAUUUCUCCGAUUUAGGCUCGAGCUUAUCAGGUUGAAGUUUCUUCACAUAAGCAUCGCAACCCCAAACUUUAAGAUACGACAACUUUGGUUUCUUGCCAAACCAUAGUUCAAAAGGCGUCGUCUCAACGGAUUUCGAUGGUGUCCUAUUUAGAGUGAAUGCAGCCGUCUCUAAAGCAUAACCCCAAAACGAUAGCGGUAAAUCAGUAAGAGACAUCAUAGAUCGCACCAUAUCUAGUAAAGUGCGAUUACGACGUUCAGACACACCAUUACGCUGUGGUGUUCCGGGUGGCGUGAGUUGCGAAACUAUUCCGCAUUGUUUUAAAUGUAGACCAAACUCGUAACUCAAAUAUUCUCCUCCACGAUCAGAUCGUAGGAAUUUUAUUUUCUUGUUACGAUGAUUUUCAACUUCACUUUGAAAUUCUUUGAACUUUUCAAAUGUUUCAGACUUAUGUUUCAUUAAGUAGAUAUACCCAUAUCUGCUCAAAUCAUCUGUGAAGGUGAGAAAAUAACGAUAUCCGCCACGAGCUUCAAUAUUCAUCGGGCCACAUACAUCUGUAUGUAUGAUUUCCAACAAAUCUUUUGCUCUCUCCAUAGUUCCGGAGAACGGUGUUUUUGUCAUCUUGCCCAUAAGGCACAGUUCGCAAGUACCAAGUGAUUCAAAAUCAAGUGAUUCCAAAAUUCCAUCAGUAUGGAGUUUCUUCAUGCGCUUUACACCGAUAUGACCCAAACGGCAGUGCCACAAAUAAGUUGCACUGUCAUUAUUAACUCUGCAUCUUUUGGCUUCAGGAUUAUGAAUAUGUGUAUCACUACUAUCGAGAUUCAUUAAAAAUAGACCACUCUUCAAGGGUGCAUGACCAUAAAAGAUAUUAUUCAUAUAAAUAGAACAACCAUUAUUCUCUGAUUUAAAUGAAUAACCGUCUCGCAUUAAACAAGAUCCAGAUAUAAUGUUCAUGCUCAACGCUGGCACCAAAUAACAAUUAUUUAGGUCUAAAACUAAUCCCGAAGGUAGAUGUAGAGGUAGCGUGCCGACGGCGAUCACAUCGACUUUGGAACCAUUUCCCACGCGCAUCGUCACCUCGUCCUUAGCUAAACUUCGCUUAAUCCGUAGCCCCUAUUUUGAGUUGAAAAUAUUAGCAACAGAACCAGUAUCAAAUACCCAGGUGCUACUGCGAGUAUUAGUAAGGUACACAUCAAUAACAUGUAUAUCACAUAUACCUUUGUUAACCUUGCCAUCCUUCUUAUCCGCCAAAUACUUGGGGCAGUUCCGCUUCCAGUGGCUAGUCUGCUUACAGUAGAAGCACUCAGUUUCAGGCUUAGGUCCAGACUUGGAUUUCUUCUCCUGAACAGCAACUUGCUUGCUAUUCUUCUUGAAGUUCCCUUUCUUCUUCCCUUUGCCCUUUUUCUUGAAACUAGUGGUUUUACUGACCAUCAACACUUGAUGCUCCUUUUUGAUUUCCACCUCCGCUGCCUUUAGCAUUGCGAAGAGCUCGGGAAUCGUCUUAUUCAUCCCUUGCAUGUUAUAGUUCAUCACGAAGCUCUUGUAGCUUGGUGGCAGUGAUUGAAGAAUUCUGUCAAUGACGCAAUCAUCCAGAAGUUGAACUCCCAGUUGAAUUAAGUGAUUAUUAUACCCAGACAUUCUGAGUAUAUGCUCACUGACAGAACUAUUCUCUUCCAUCUUGCAGCUAUAGAACUUAUUGGAGACUUCAUAUCUCUCAAUCCGGGCAUUUGCUUGAAAUAUUAACUUCAACUCCUGGAACAUCUCAUAUGCUCCAUGACGUUCAAAACGUCGUUGAAGUCCCGGUUCUAAGCCGUAAAGCAUGGCACACUGAACUAUUGAGUAGUCAUCAGCUUUGCUUUCCCAGACGUUCAUAACUUCUGGCGUAGCUCUUGCAGGAGGCCUAGCACCUAGCGGUGCUUCCAGGACGUAAUUCUUCUGUGCAGCAAUGAGGAUAAUCCUCAAGUUACGGACCCAGUCCGUGUAAUUGCUACCAUCAUCUUUCAACUUAGCUUUCUCAAGGAACGCAUUAAAAUUCAACGGCACAACAGCACGGGCCAUAUAUCUACAAUUAACAUAGACAAGCAAGAUACUAUCAGGUACUAAGUUCAUGAUAAAUUUAAGUUCAAUUAAUCAUAUUACUUAAGAACUCCCACUUAGAUAGACAUCUCUCUAAUCAUCUAAGUGAUUACGUGAUCCAAAGCAACUAAACCAUGUCCGAUUAACACGUGAGAUGGAGUAGUUUCAAUGGUGAACAUCACUAUGUUGAUCAUAUCUACUAUAUGAUUCACGCUCGACCUUUCGGUCUCUGUGUUCCGAGGCCAUAUCUGUACAUAUGCUAGGCUCGUCAAGUUUAACCUGAGUACUCCGCGUGUGCAACUGUUUUGCACCCGUUGUAUUUGAACGUAGAGCCUAUCACACCCGAUUAACACGUGGUGUCUCAGCACGAAGAACUUUUGCAACGGUGCAUACUCAGGGAGAACACUUUUAUCUUGAAAUUUUAGUGAGAGAUCAUCUUAUAAUGCUACCGUCAAACAAAGCAAGAUAAGAUGCAUAAAGGAUUAACAUCACAUGCAAUCAAUAUAAGUGAUAUGAUAUGGCCAUCAUCAUCUUGUGCUUGUGAUCUCCAUCUCCAAAGCACCGUGCUUGUGAUCUCCAUCUCCGAAGCACCAUCAUGAUCACCAUCGUCACCGGCUCGACACCUUGAUCUCCAUCGUAGUAUCGUUGUCGUCUCGCCAACUUAUUGCUUUUACAACUAUCGCUACCGUUUAGUGAUAAAGUAAAACUAUUACAUGGCGAUUGCAUCUCAUACAAUAAAGCGACAACCAUAUGGCUCCUGCCAGUUGCCGAUAACUCGGUUACAAAACAUGAUCAUCUCAUACAACACAUUAUAUCACAUCAUGUCUUGACCAUAUCACAUCACAACAUGCCCUGCAAAAACAAGUUAGACGAUCUCUACUUUGUUGUUGCAUAUUUUACGUGGCUGCUACGGGCUUAGCAAGAACCGUUCUUACCUACGCAUCAAAACCACAACGAUAGUUUGUCAAGUUGGUGCUGUUUUAACCUUCGCAAGGACCGGGCGUAGCCACACUCGGUUCAACUAAAGUGAGAGAGACAGACACCCGCCAGUCACCUUUAAGCAACGAGUGCUCCGAACGGUGAAACCAGUCUCGCGUAAGCGUACGCGUAAUGUCGGUCCGGGCCGCUUCAUCUCACAAUACCGCUGAACCAAAGUAUGACAUGCUGGUAAGCAGUAUGACUUAUAUCGCCCACAACUCACUUGUGUUCUACUCGUGCAUAGCAUCAACGCAUAAAACCAGGCUCGGAUGCCACUGUUGGGGAACGUAGUAAUUUCAAAAAAUUUCCUACGCACACGCAAGAUCAUGGUGAUGCAUAGCAACGAGAGGGGAGAGUGUUGUCCACGUACCCACGUAGACUGACAGCGGAAGCGUUAUCACAACGCGGUUGAUGUAGUCGAACGUCUUCACGAUCCGACCGAUCAAGUACCGAACGCACGGCACCUCCGAAGUUCUACACACGUUCAGCUCGAUGACGUCCCUCGAACUCCGAUCCAGCCGAGUGUUGAGGGAGAGUUUCGUCAGCACGACGGCGUGGUGACGAUGAUGAUGUUCCACCGACGCAGGGCUUCACCUAAGCUUCGCGACGGUAUUAUCGAGGUGUAAUCUGGUGGAGGGGGGCACCGCACACGGCUAAAAUAUCGUAUAUCAAGUGUGUUCUUAGGUGCCCCCUGCCCCCGUAUAUAAAGGAGCAAGGGGGAGGCCGGCUGCCUAUGGGGCGCGCCAAGGAGAGGGGGGGAGUCCUCCUCCUAGUAGGAGUAGGACUCCCCUUUCCUAGUCCUACUAGGAAAAGAAGGGGGGAAGGAAAGAGAGGAGAGGGAAAGGGAAAGGGGGCUGCGCCCCCUCUCCUAGUCCAACUAGGACUCCUCUGGGAGGGGGCGCACCACCUCCUGGCUGCUGCCCUCUCUCUCCCCUCAAGGCCCACUAAGGCCCAAUACUUCCCCGGGGGGUUCCGGUAACCCUCCGGCCCUCCGGUUUAAUCCGAAACUUCUCCGGAACACUUCCGGUGUCCGAAUAUAGUCGUUCAAUAUAUCAAUCUUUACGUCUCGACCAUUUCGAGACUCCUCGUCAUGUCCAUGAUCACAUCCGGGACUCCGAACAACCUUCGGUACAUCAAAUCAUAUAAACUCAUAAUAAAACUGUCAUCGUAACUUUAAGCGUGCGGACCCUUUGGGUUCGAGAACUAUGUAGACAUGACCGAGACACCUCUCCGGUCAAUAACCAAUAGCGGGACCUGGAUGCCCAUAUUGGCUCCUACAUAUUCUACGAAGAUCUUUAUCGGUCAGACCGCAUAACAACAUACGUUGUUCCCUUUGUCAUCGGUAUGUUACUUGCCCGAGAUUCGAUCGUCGGUAUCUCGAUACCUAGUUCAAUCUCGUUACCGGCAAGUCUCUUUACUCGUUCCGUAAUACAUCAUCCCGUAACUAACUCAUUAGUCACAAUGCUUGCAAGGCUUAUAGUGAUGUGCAUUACCGAGUGGGCCCUGAGAUACCUCUCCGACAAUCGGAGUGACAAAUCCUAAUCUCGAAAUACGCCAACCCAACAAGUACCUUUGGAGACACCUGUAGAGCACCUUUAUAAUCACCCAGUUACGUUGUGACGUUUGGUAGCACACAAAGUGUUCCCCCGGUAAACGGGAGUUGCAUAAUCUCAUAGUCAUAGGAACAUGUAUAAGUCAUGAAGAAAGCAAUAGCAACAUACUAAAUGAUCGGGUGCUAAGCUAAUGUAAUGGGUCAUGUCAAUCACGUCAUUCUCCUAAUGAGGUGAUCCCGUUAAUCAAAUGACAACUCAUGUCUAUGGCUAGGAAACAUAACCAUCUUUGAUUAACGAACUAGUCAAGUAGAGGCAUACUAGUGAGACUUUGUUUGUCUAUGUAUUCACACAUGUAUUAUGUUUCCGGUUAAUACAAUUCUAGCAUGAAUAAUAAACAUUUAUCAUGAUAUAAGGAAAUAUAAAAUACUUUAUUAUUGCCUCUAGGGCAUAUUUCCUUCACUACGGACGUGCUUUGCACACAGGUGGCUGGCGGGUGUCAGUUUCUCCAAAUUUAGUUGAACCGAGUGUGGCUAUGCCCGGUCCUUGCGAAGGUUAAAACAGCACCAACUUGACAAACUAUCGUUGUGGUUUUGAUGCGUAGGUAAGAACGGUUCUUGCUCAGCCCGUAGCAGCCACAUAAAACUUGCAACAACAAAGUAGAGGACGUCUAACUUGUUUUUGCAGGGCAUGUUGUGAUGUGAUAUGGUCAAGGCAUGAUGCUAUAUUUUAUUGUAUGAGAUGAUCAUGUUUUGUAACCGAGUUAUCGGCAACUGGCAGGAGCCAUAUGGUUGUUGCUUUAUUGUAUGCAAUGCAAUCGCCCUGUAAUGCUUUACUUUAUCACUAAGCGGUAGCGAUAGUCGUAGAAGCAUAAGAUUGGCGAGACGACAACGAUGCUACGAUGGAGAUCAAGGUGUCACGCCGGUGACGAUGGUGAUCAUGACGGUGCUUCGGAGAUGGAGAUCACAAGCACAAGAUGAUGGCCAUAUCAUAUCACUUAUAUUGAUUGCAUGUGAUGUUUAUCUUUUAUGCAUCUUAUCUUGCUUUGAUUGAUGGUAGCAUUAUAAGAUGAUCUCUCACUAAAUUUCAAGAUAAAAGUGUUCUCCCUGAGUAUGCACCGUUGCCAAAGUUCGUCGUGCCCAAACACCACGUGAUGAUCGGGUGUGAUAAGCUCUACGUCCAUCUACAACGGGUGUAAGCCAGUUUUGCACACGCAGAAUACUCAGGUUAAACUUGAUGAGCCUAGCAUAUGCAGAUAUGGCCUCGGAACACUGAGACCGAAAGGUCGAGCGUGAAUCAUAUAGUAGAUAUGAUCAACAUAGAGAUGUUCACCAUUGAAAGCUACUCCAUUUCACGUGAUGAUCGCUUAUGGUUUAGUUGAUAUGGAUCACGUGAUCACUUAGAGGAUUAGAGGGAUGUCUAUCUAAGUGGGAGUCCUUAAGUAAUAUGAUUAAUUGAACUUAAAUUUAUCAUGAACUUAGUACCCGAUAGUAUCUUGCUUGUCUAUGUUGAUUGUAGAUAGAUGACCCGUGCUGUUGUUCCGUUGAAUUUUAAUGCGUUCCUUGAGAAAGCAAAGUUGAAAGAUGAUGGUAGCAAUUACACGAACUGGGUCCGUAACUUGAGGAUUAUCAUCAUUGCUGCACAGAAGAAUUACGUCCUGGAAGCACUGCUAGGUGCCAAACCUGCUGCAGGAGCAACACCAGAUGUUAUGAACGUUUGGCAGAGCAAAGCUGAUGACUACUCGAUAGUUCAGUGUGCCAUGCUUUACGGCUUAGAACCGGGACUUCAACGACAUUUUGAAUGUCAUGGAGCAUAUGAGAUGUUCCAGGAGUUGAAGUUAAUAUUUCAAGCAAAUGCCCGGAUUGAGAGAUAUGAAGUCUCCAAUAAGUUCUACAGUUGCAAGAUGGAGGAGAAUAGUUCUGUCAGUGAGCAUAUACUCAGAAUGUCUGGGUAUAACAACCACUUGAUUCAACUGGGAGUUAAUCUUCCGGAUGAUAGCGUCAUUGACAGAAUUCUUCAAUCACUGCCACCAAGCUACAAGAGCUUCGUGAUGAACUAUAACAUGCAAGGGAUGGAUAAGACGAUUCCCGAGUUCUUCGCAAUGCUAAAAGCUGUGGAGGUAGAAAUCAAGAAGGAGCGUCAAGUGUUGAUGGUUAAUAAGACCACCAGUUUCAAGAAAAAGGGCAAAGGGAAGAAGAAGGGGAACUUCAAGAAGAACAGCAAACAAGUUGCUGCUCAAGAGAAGAACCCCAAGUCUGGACCUAAGCCUGAGACUGAGUGCUUCUACUGCAAGCAGACUGGUCACUGGAAGCGGAACUGCCCCAAGUAUUUGGCGGAUAAGAAGGAUGGCAAGGUGAACAAAGGUAUAUGUGAUAUACAUGUUAUUGAUGUGUACCUUACCAGAGCUCGCAGUAGCACCUGGGUAUUUGAUACUGGUUCUGUUGCUAAUAUUUGCAACUCAAAACAUGGACUACAGAUUAAGCGAACACUGGCCGACGAGGUGACGAUGCGCGUGGGAAACGGUUCCAAAGUCGAUGUGAUCACCGUCGGCACGCUACCUCUACAUCUACCUUCGGGAUUAGUAUUAGACCUAAAUAAUUGUUAUUUGGUGCCAGUGUUGAGCAUGAACAUUAUAUCUGGAUCUUUUUUGAUGCGAUACGGUUAUUCAUUUAAAUCAGAGAAUAAUGGUUGUUCUAUUUAUAUGAGUAAUAUCUUUUAUGGUCAUGCACCCUUGAAGAGUGGUCUAUUUUUGAUGAAUCUCGAUAGUAGUGAUACACAUAUUCAUAAUGUUGAAGCCAAAAGAUGCAGAGUUGAUAAUGAUAGUGCAACUAAAUUGUGGCACUGCCGUUUGGGUCAUAUUGGUGUAAAGCGCAUGAAGAAACUCCAUACUGAUGGACUUUUGGAAUCACUUGAUUAUGAAUCACUUGGUACUUGCGAACCAUGCCUCAUGGGCAAGAUGACUAAAAUGCCGUUCUCCGGAACUAUGGAGCGAGCAACUGAUUUGUUGGAGAUCAUACAUACUGAUGUAUGUGGUCCAAUGAAUGUUGAGGCUCGUGGCGGGUAUCGUUAUUUUCUCACCUUCAUAGAUGAUUUAAGCAUAUAUGGGUAUAUCUACUUAAUGAAACAUAAGUCUGAAACAUUUGAAAAGUUCAAAGAAUUUCAGAGUGAAGUUGAAAAUCAUCGUAACAAGAAAAUAAAGUUUCUACGAUCUGAUCGUGGAGGAGAAUAUUUGAGUUACGAGUUUGGUCUACAUUUGAAACAAUGCGGAAUAGUUUCGCAACUCACGCCACCCGGAACACCACAGCGCAAUGGUGUGUCCGAACGUCGUAACAUACUUUACUAGAUAUGGUGCGAUCUAUGAUGUCUCUUACUGAUUUACCGCUAUUGUUUUGGGGUUGUGCUUUGGAGACGGCCGCAUUCACGUUAAAUAGGGCACCAUCAAAAUCCGUUGAGACGAUGCCUUAUGAACUAUGGUUUGGCAAGAAACCAAAGUUGUCGUUUCUUAAAGUUUGUGGCUGCGAUGCUUAUGUGAAAAAGUUUCAACCUGAUAAGCUCGAACCCAAAUCAGAGAAAUGUGUCUUCAUAGGAUACCCAAAGGAAACUGUUGGGUACACCUUUUAUCAUAGAUCCGAAGGCAAGACAUUCGUUGCCAACAAUGGAUCCUUUCUAGAGAAGGAGUUUCUCUCGAAAGAAGUGAGUGGGAGGAAAGUAGAACUUGAUGAGGUAACAGUACCUGCUCCCUUAUUGGAAAGUAGUUCAUCACAGAAAUCGGUUCCUGUGACGUCUACACCAAUUAGUGAGGAAGUUAAUGAUGAUGAUCAUGAAACUUCAGAUCAAGUUGUUGCUGAACCUCGUAGGUCAACCAGAGUAAGAUCCGCACCAGAGUGGUACGGUAAUCCUAUUCUGGAGGUUAUGUUACUAGACCAUGACGAACCUACGAACUAUGAAGAAGCGAUGGUGAGCCCAGAUUCCGCAAAAUGGCUUGAGGCCAUGAAAUCUGAGAUGGGAUCCAUGUAUGAGAACAAAGUAUGGAGUUUGGUUGACUUGCCCGAUGAUCGGCAAGCCAUAGAGAAUAAAUGGAUCUUCAAGAAGAAGACUGACGCUGACGGUAAUGUUACUGUCUAUAAAGCUCGACCUGUUGCAAAAGGUUUUCAACAAGUUCAAGGGAUUCACUACGAUGAGACCUUCUCACCCAUAGCGAUGCUUAAGUCUGUCCGAAUCAUGUUAGCAAUUGCCGCAUUUUAUGAUUAUGAAAUUUGGCAAAUGGAUGUAAAAACUGCAUUACUGAAUGGAUUUCUGGAAGAAGAGUUGUAUAUGAUGCAACCAGAAGGUUUUGUCGAUCCAAAGGGAGCUAACAAAGUGUGCAAGCUCCAGCGAUCCAUUUAUGGACUGGUGCAAGCUUCUCGGAGUUGGAAUAAACGCUUUGAUAGUGUGAUCAAAGCAUUUGGUUUUAUACAGAAUUUUGGAGAAGCCUGUAUUUACAAGAAAGUGAGUGGGAGCUCAGUAGCAUUUCUGAUAUUAUAUGUGGAUGACAUAUUACUGAUUGGAAAUGAUAUAGAAUUUCUGGAUAGCAUAAAAGGAUACUUGAAUAAAAGUUUUUCAAUGAAAGAUCUCGUUGAAGCUGCUUACAUAUUAGGCAUAAAGAUCUAUAGAGAUAGAUCAAGACGCUUGAUAGGACUUUCACAAAGCACAUACCUUGACAAAGUUUUGAAAAAGUUCAAAAUGGAUCAAGCAAAGAAAGGGUUCUUGCCUGUAUUACAAGGUGUGAAGUUGAGUCAGACUCAAUGCCCGACCACUGCAGAAGAUAGAGAGAAAAUGAAAGAUGUUCCCUAUGCUUCAGCCAUAGGCUCUAUCAUGUAUGCAAUGCUGUGUACCAGACCUGAUGUGUGCCUUGCUAUUAGCCUAGCAGGGAGGUACCAAAGUAAUCCAGGGUGGAUCACUGGACAGCGGUCAAGAACAUCCUGAAAUACCUGAAAAGGACUAAGGAUAUGUUUCUCGUUUAUGGAGGUGACAAAGAGCUAGUCGUAAAUGGUUACGUCAAUGCAAGCUUUGACACUGAUCCGGACGAUUCUAAAUCGCAAACCGGAUACGUGUUUACAUUGAACGGUGGAGCUGUCAGUUGGUGCAGUUCUAAAAAAGCGUUGUGGCAGGAUCUACGUGUGAAGCGGAGUACAUAGCUGCUUCGGAAGCAGCAAAUGAAGGAGUCUGGAUGAAGGAGUUCAUAUCCGAUCUAGGUGUCAUACCUAGUGCAUCGGGUCCAAUGAAAAUCUUUUGUGACAAUACUGGUGCAAUUGCCUUGGCGAAGGAAUCCAGAUUUCACAAGAGAACCAAGCACAUCAAGAGACGCUUCAAUUCCAUCCGGGAUUUAGUGCAGGUGGGAGACAUAGAAAUUUGCAAGAUACAUACGGAUCUGAAUGUUGCAGACCCAUUAACUAAGCCUCUUCCACGAGCAAAACAUGAUCAGCACCAAGGCUCCAUGGGUGUUAGAAUCAUUACUGUGUAAUCUAGAUUAUUGACUCUAGUGCAAGUGGGAGACUGAAGGAAAUAUGCCCUAGAGGCAAUAAUAAAGUUAUUAUUUAUUUCCUUAUAUCAUGAUAAAUUUUUAUUAUUCAUGCUAGAAUUGUAUUAACCGGAAACAUAAUACUUGUGUGAAUACAUAGACAAACAGAGUGUCACUAGUAUGCCUCUACUUGACUAGCUCGUUGAUCAAAGAUGGUUAUGUUUCCUAGCCAUUGACAUGAGUUGUCAUUUGAUUAACGGGAUCACAUCAUUAGAAGAAUGAUGUGAUUGACUUGACCCAUUCCGUUAGCUUAGCACUCGAUCGUUUAGUAUAUUGCUAUUGCUUUCUUCAUGACUUAUACAUGUUCCUAUGACUAUGAGAUUAUGCAACUCCCGUUUACCGGAGGAACACUUUGUGUGCUACCAAACGUCACAACGUAACUGGGUGAUUAUAAAGGUGCUCUACAGGUGUCUCCGAAGGUACUUGUUGGGUUGGCGUAUUUCGAGAUUAGGAUUUGUCACUCCGAUUGUCGGAGAGGUAUCUCUAGGCCCACUCGGUAAUGGACAUCACUUAAGCCUUGCAAGCAGUGCAACCAAUGAGUUAGUUGCGGGAUGAUGUAUUACGGAACGAGUAAAGAGACUUGCCGGUAACGAGAUUGAACUAGGUAUUGAGAUACCGACGAUCGAAUCUCGGGCAAGUAACAUACCGAUGACAAAGGGAACAACGUAUGUUGUUAUGCGGUUUGACCGAUAAAGAUCUUCGUAGAAUAUGUGGGAGCCAAUAUGAGCAUCCAGGUUCCGCUAUUCGUUAUUGACCGGAGACGUGUCUCGGUCAUGUCUACAUAGUUCUCGAACCCGUAGGGUCCGCAUGCUUAAAGUUUUGAUGACGGUUAUAUUAUGAGUUUAUGAGUUUUGAUGUACCAAAGGUUGUUUGGAGUCCCGGAUGUGAUCACGGACAUGACGAGGAGUCUCCAAAUGGUCGAGACAUGAAGAUUGAUAUAUUGGAAGCCUAUAUUUGGAUAUCGGAAGUGUUCCGGGUGAAAUCGGGAUUUUACCGGAGUACCGGAGGGGUUACCGGAACCCCCCGGGGGUUUAAUGGGCCAUAGUGGGCCUUAGUGGAGAAGAGGAGGGCAGCCAGGGCAGGCCGCGCCCCCCUCCCCCUCUAGUCCGAAUUGGACAAGGAGGGGGGGCGGCGCCCCCCUUUUUCCUUCUUCUCCUCUUCCUCCUUCCCCCCUUCUCCUAAUCCAACAAGGAAGAGAGGGAGCCCUACUCCAGGUGGGAGUAGGACUCCUCCUGGAGCGCCUCCUCCUGGCCGGCCGCACCUCCCCCCUUGCUCCUUUAUAUACGGGGGCAGGGGGCACCCUAGAGGCACAACAAUUGAUCAGUUGAUCUUUUAGCCGUGUGCGGUGCCCCCCUCCACCAUAGUCCACCUCGAUAAUACUGUAGCGGUGCUUAGGCGAAGCCCUGCAUCGGUAGAACAUCAUCAUCAUCGUCACCACGCCGUCAUGCUGACGAAACUCUCCCUCAACACUCGGCUGGAUCGGAGUUCGAGGGACGUCAUCGAGCUGAACGUGUGCUGAACUCGGAGAUGUCGUAUGUUCGGUACUUGGAUCGGUCGGAUCGUGAAGACGUACGACUACAUCAACCGCGUUGUGCUAACGCUUCCGCUUUCGGACUACGAGGGUACGUGGACAACACUCUCCCCUCUCGUUGCUAUGCAUCACCAUGAUCUUGCGUGUGCGUAGGAAUUUUUUUGAAAUUACUACGUUCCCCUACAGAUACCGAUGAUCGAAUCUCGGGCAAGUAACAUACCGAUGACAAAGGGAACAACAUAUGUUGUUAUGCGGUUUGACCGACCUUCGUAGAAUAUGUAGGAGCCAAUAUGAGCAUCCAGGUUCCGAUAUUGGUUAUUGACCGAAGAUGUGUCUCGGUCAUGUGUACAUAGUUCUCGAACCCGUAGGGUCCGCACGCUUAAUGUUCGAUGACGAUUUGUAUUAUGAGUUAUGUGAUUUGAUGUACCGAAGGUUGUUCGGAGUCCCGGAUGAGAUCACGAGGAGUCUCGAAAUGGUCGAUAUGUAAAGAUCGAUAUAUUGGAAGGCUAUAUUCGGACAUCGGAAAGGUUCCGAGUGAUUCAGGUAUUUUUCGGAGUACCGGAGAGUUACGGGAAUUCGCCGGGAGAAAUAACGGGCCUUAUUGGGCUUUAGUGGAGAGAGGGGAGAAGGGCCAAGAGGUGGCGCGUGCCUCCCCCCUACCCAAACCGAAUUGGACAAGGGGUGGGGGUGCGGCCCCCCUUUCCUUCUCCCUCUCCCUCUUUUUCCUUCUCUCCUACUCCGAAUAGGAGAGAGGAGGGGAAUCCUACUUGGACUGGGGAGUCCUAGUAGGAUUCCCCACACCUGGCGCGCCCCCCUUGGGCCGGCCACCUCUUCCCUCCCCUCCUUUAUAUACGUGGCCAGGGGGCACCCCAAAGGCACUCAAGAUUUGUCUUAGCCGUGUGCGGUGCCCCCCUCCACAGUUACAUACCUCGGUCAUAUCGUCGUAGUGCUUAGGCAAAGCCCUACGCCGGUAACUUCAUCAUCACCGUCGCCACGCCGUCGUGCUGACGGAACUCUCCCUCGGCCUCAACUGGAUCAAGAGUGCGAGGGACGUCAUCGAGCUGAACGUGUGCUGAACACGGAGGUGUCGUACGUUCGGUGAUAGGAUCGGUCGGAUCGUGAAGACGUACGACUACAUCAACCGCGUUGAUAUAACGCUUCCGCUUUCGGUCUACAAGGGUACGUGGACACACUCUCCCGCUCGUUGCUAUGCAUCACCCAGAUAGAUCUUGCGUGAUCGUAGGAAUUUUUUUGAAAUUACUGCGUUCCCCAACAGAGUGAUUGGUGAGGGAGCUUUCCGUAAGACCAAUCUCGUGGAGAAUUUUUCGUGAGUGUACUACUCCCUUCUUCCUGUUAUGCAGGGUGUGUAAGUUUUUGGCAUGAAAAUUAGUGCAAGACCAGUGGCAAUUACUAAUAAGCCAUGGUUAUAGAAAGUUUCCUCAAUGAUAUCUUUUAACAAAUAUGGUUGGUUGAUCCACAAUUAGUAAUGGUUAGCUUACAAUGCCCGUACAAGAGAGAAUAUCAAGGGUUGAGUGCUAACCGGCGUUAGAUUUGGGAAUUUUCUGAAAAGCUUAUACGGCUAAGAUUUUGGGGAGGAAGUAUCAUUUUUGGUGCUAAACGGGCCUAAAGAAAAGAUGAAAUAUUAAAUGCAAGAAAAAGUUUAGCAACUAAACUCCUCGAUGCAUAAGUAUUUUUUCCGCUAAAUUCAACAAGGACGGAGUGCUUCACCAGCCAAUUAUGAACCAAAUCACUCUACUUAACUUAAAGUGAACACUUAUCUCCCAGCCCUAGUAAUUUACAUAUAAAGAGGAGAGAUUUCAUUGUACGUACAAUUGAAAGUGAUCAAUUUGUGAUGCUGAUAAUGACUCGUGGCAACAUUCUCUCCUGGAGUGCAAUAUGGCAGGAAGUGUGUGGGCUCUAUCCAAUUUGGAGCUAUUUCGAUCUGUUUUGCUGGAUGAGACUCAAAUAGCUAGGCUAUGGUUGUUUGAAUUGAGCAAGAAUCUCUCUCACGAUGAAUUUGCAAAGGCGAUUGUCAUUUUAUGGGCAAUAUGGUGGGCUAGAGGGCGGCUAUUCAUGACAAUGAAUUCUAGUUGCCUUUGUCGACUCAGGGCUUUCAUCACAGAGUACCUACUCGAGUUGGACAUUUGUGCAACAAAGAAAAAAAAAAC